RNAcentral lists this long non-coding RNA (84520 nucleotides) under Cucumis sativus (cucumber). Its description in RNAcentral is "long non-coding RNA (CSAT_LNC000801)". The record is from RNAcentral. Lineage: Eukaryota; Viridiplantae; Streptophyta; Magnoliopsida; Cucurbitales; Cucurbitaceae.
GGAUGAAUCGUAAUGACAAUGCACCAAAUUGGAAGUUGAGAAAGUAAAGUAUAAUGACAAUGUGCCAAAAUAGCGACGAUCGUGAAUUUUUUUAGUUAAUUCUUCGAUAAAACAUCAAUUUAUCGUCUAACUUUAACUAAAAAUUAAAAUCUUAAACUAUUAAAACUGAUUAUCUUAUUUGACAUCCUAGUUAUCUAAACAUUAAGUCCACCCCACCAUUCCGUUAGAAAGUUAACAAAAUAUUAACGGUAGAGACCAAAAUAUAUUGUUUUUAAAAGUUUAGAGACUUAAACAAUCACUUUUAAAAGUCGAGGGAAGAAUGAAGUUUAGAGACUAAAACAGAUUUUCUAAAUGAAUCACAAUGAACAAUAGUAAGGAAAAGUCACGAUCCCAUCUUCUAACACAAGGCGAAACAACUACAACAAGAUAAUAUAAAUAUUGCUCUUAAAAAUAAAAUGAACGACCAACCCUAACCAAAGAACUAAGUGACCUUUAAAUAUGCACAACUAAAUCACAAUGAUCAACAAUCCUAAAUUCUUGAGCAAAUUAUACACGGAAUAAAGGAAGAUGUUAGUAGGAAAAACAGAAAAGACAACCACCGACAAGAAAAUUAUUUAGUAGAAUGAACAUUUUUGUAUUAUGUAGACCUAUCCAUUUUCAAUAUCAAGAAACCAUAAAACAAAUAUUGCCAAUCUCAUAUAACCUAACAACUUCAAAUAAAUUUUAAUAUACUAACCAUACAUAUAUUUUUAAUUUAGAGUUAUUUUUUCAACCAGAAAUGAACGGUUUUUAGUUCAUAUAUUGAUUGUAGGAGUAGUUUUAAAUUUUGUUUAAAGGUUAAGAGUAUUUUUAAAAUUGUUAUAGUUUAGGGGGAGUUUUUUAAAAGAAACUUUUAACGGGUUUCAUCCAAAACUAAAGAUAAAAGUAUUUUUUAACCAAUUUUAAAAGUUCGAGGGUAUUUAUGAAACUUUUAAAAGUUUAGAGGUAUAUUUGACCCAAAAUAUAAAGUUGAGAGUCACUUUUUUUUUAUAAGUUAGCUUUGAAAAAUUACAUAAAAUAUAAAGAAAAUUUAGAAAAAUCACCUAGUACUUUAUACAUCAAAUUUCACUAAUGUCCUAAAAUUUUAUUUAUUAUCUUAGGUAAGAUUUCGUGUUUUUAGGACCAUUUUAACCUUCAUAUGAAUAUUUAAUAUAAUUGAUUUUCGAAAAUAUGACCUUAAUUAUAUUAUACCAAAUUUAUUAUAUAAUUUAUAGGGACAUUUUUAAAAUAUCAAAAUAUUUACCCGCUAUAACAAAAUUGAUUUUCCUUCUUCUUUCUUUAUCCUUUCUAUUUAUUUUUAUUUUUGUAUAAUGAGUUACUCUAAAUUAUCCACCCCCAAUAACUAUGUUGGGUGAGUUCUAUCUUUCGGUCAUGUUCUUAAUUUUUUUGUUUAUCAUAUCUUAUGGUCUGUUAGAUUUCACCCUAAUACAAAUAGUAUUUUGUUUCAUUACGACAUAUUUCGAUCAUCUUAUUCAUUUUUUUUGUUUAGUAAAGAUUCCGUGAACAAUAUAUACAUUUAUAAUCUAAUUCUCUUAUGUGAUUUAUCAGAUAUAUACAUCUGCAUAUUUUUAAUAAUACAUAAGUUGUGACACGUACAAUUAUUUUAUUAACGUUAGUGCAUAUUUGUUUCAUUAAACUUAUUUAUUUAUUUUUUGUUUCUUAAUGUGUCAUCAACAAAAUAAUAUAUUUAUGUUAUGUGAUUUAUUAGAUAUAUACAAUGAUAUAUUUUCAAUAAAACAUAACUUCUAUCACAUAUAGUUUCAUUAUUUAUCAUUGCAUAUACAGAUGAUGUUAUCAAUAUAUACAAUAAUAUGUAUAGUGACUCAUAUAGUUCUAUUAUUUCUUGUCAGGUAUGACCAAAAUUUCUAUAUAUUUCAAUGGUUUUUUUUCAAUAAUUUAUGUUAUCAACAUAAUAGAAUUAAUCACGUAUAUAUUUACAUAAAGUAUCUAAUAAAUGCAAAUCUUAAUCUAUUUUUCUUAUUUCAUUUUUAUAUUAUUAAUAAUAAAUAUGAGUAAAUUGGUCAUUUGGACUCUACAUUUGUGUACGUGAGAGGUUUGUAAAUAUUUUUGCCAAUUUUUUCAUUUUGAAGAAUUUUCCACUUUCUUGAUCCACCUAUAAUUGUUAUCUUAGUUUCUUCUUCUUCUUCUUCUUUUUUUUUUUUUUGAUUUUUAAUAUCCACACACCAAAACAUGGAUGAUUAUUGAACUGAAAACCCAACCCAACUCCAAGACACUGACAGAUAGAGCCUAACGGAUAUUAUUUUGGCUGAAUUCCACAUCCAAUCUCCAUCUCACAAAAAAAAUGGAGAAUUGGUUCAUCGUCCUCGUCUCCUUCUCCAUCUGCUCUCUUCUCACCUCCAUUUUCACCCUUCUCCGUACCUCCUCCAAGCUUCCACCAGGCCCUCCUUCAAUCCCCAUCCUCACCAAUUUCCAGUGGCUCCGCAAAUCCACCCUCCAAAUCGAGUCUCUACUUCGUAGUUUCGUCGCAAAAUAUGGCCCCAUCAUCACCCUCCCCAUCGGCACCCGCCCCGUCAUCUUCAUCGCCGACCCCUCCAUCGCCCACAAGGCCCUCGUCCUCAACGGCGCCCUCUUCGCCGAUCGUCCACCGGCGCUACCUGUUGCCAAGAUCAUUACCUCCAACCAACACAACAUUAACUCUGCCUCUUACGGCCCACUCUGGCGCCUCCUCCGCCGUAAUCUCACUUCCCAAAUCCUCCAUCCUUCCCGUCUCAAAUCCUACAGUGAAGCUCGCAAGUGGGUUUUGGAUGUCCUUAUUAAUCGGUUUGUUUCUCAGUCUGAAUCGGGAAAUCCCGUUUGUGUUAUUGAACAUUUUCAGCAUGCUAUGUUCUGUUUGUUGGUGUUGAUGUGUUUUGGGGAUAAGCUUGAGGAGUCCCUGAUCAAGGAAAUUGAAGACGUGCAUCGAGUUUUGCUUUUGAAUUUUCAACGUUUUAGCAAUCUUGAUUUGUUGCCUAAAUUGUCCAAGAUUUUCUUCCGAAAACGUUGGGAGGCAUUUCUUGAAAUCAGAAGAAAGCAAGAUAAAGUCGUCAUCCCAUUGAUUGAAUCAAGAAGAACAGCCAUCCAAAACAGAGCAAGCAGUGCCAAAAAUGAAGACAAAGAAGGUUUUGUGUUUUCAUAUGUGGACACACUGCUUGAUUUAAAGCUCCCUGAAGAGGACAAUAGAAAGCUCACUGAUGAGGAGAUGGUCACCCUGUGCUCGGAGUUCCUCUCCGGCGGCACCGACACAACUGCCACGGCGCUGCAAUGGAUAAUGGCAAAUUUAGUGAAGAACCCAGAAAUCCAGAAUAAGCUUUUGUCAGAAAUGAAAGGAGUGAUGGGAGAUGGAUCAAGGGAGGAGGUAAAGGAAGAGGAUUUGGAGAAACUACCAUAUCUGAAAGCUAUGAUUUUAGAGGGAUUAAGAAGACACCCACCAGGGCAUUUCUUGUUGCCACACGCAGUGAAAGAAGACACCAUAUUGGAAAAUUAUGUGAUACCAAAGAAUGGUAUAGUAAAUUUCAUGGUGGCGGAGAUAGGUUGGGAUCCAAAAGUGUGGGAAGAUCCGAUGGCGUUUAAGCCGGAGAGGUUCAUGAAAGGCAACGAAGGAGAAGGAGUUGAGUUUGAUAUAACAGGAAGCAAAGAGAUAAAGAUGAUGCCUUUCGGAGCAGGGAGAAGGAUGUGUCCUGGAUUAGGCCUUGCAAUUCUUCAUUUGGAGUACUUCAUUGCAAAUUUGGUAUGGAGAUUUGAGUGGAAGGAAGUAAAGGGAGAGGAAGUUAGUCUUUUGGAGAAGGUAGAGUUCACAGUGGUGAUGGAGAAGCCUCUUAAAGCCAACAUUAUUCCAAGGUGAAAAGCCUCUUAAAGCUUUGUGCCUUGUGAGUCCAAAUUAAAUGCAAAGGCAGGCUAAACACAACACAAGACUAAGGCUUUGCUUUCGCUACUUAGUUAUGUAAGAAAUUGAAUCAUGUAUUAGCACAAAUAUGAACCUGUUCUACUCAAUUAACUGCAUUUGCAUUAGGUACAAAAGAGAUAUGAGUAAAUUCAGCUUAAAUUAUAAGCUUGGUAGCUUGUGUCUAAAAGGUUUAUGAAGUUUAAAAAAUAUGAAAUAUAGAACUUACUAUUGGUUGAUUGUUACAUCAUGUUUUCAAAUUUGGUUGAUAAAGUAAAAGUAAGCUUAGUUUAAUUGAUAUGGUCUUUCUCGGUAUAGAUUGAAUGUUUCACCCACCAAUAUUAUACUAAAAUAUAUGAAUUGAUUAAUAUAUAUUUGUCAAAACUUUUGGAUUUAUUUAGUCUUUAUAGUUGGAUCAAAAUUCAUAAAUAGUAACUAUAGUAUGAUUUAAUAAAUCAUUCAUGUCUAGAUCUUACGCUGGACCUAUUUAAUUAUGAAUGUCUUAUCAAACUAUAGUGCUAAAUUCUAAUUAUAAAGCAUAGGAAUUGAACUAGGUUAUAAAUCUCUCCAAACCACCGUCAGAAAUAUCACCAACUAUCUAAGUGUAGCAUGCGCGAGGAUAUUUUGUUAAGUAAGUACAUCGUUGUACUUAUCUAUCAAGAAACAAUAAAAGUGACACACAAUUAACUUAACUCUUUACAAAAUCGUUUAUGCUGUGUCUAAGUGCAAGACCCCUCUCCAUUGAUCUUAGGCUUCCCUAAUAAUGUGUAUUAGUGAAUAACAUUUAAGGUGAGACUCUUUCUCACUCAUACUUUUUAUCUUUCUCAGACACUCCUCCAUUAUCGAUUUAUGUGGGCCUCAGACCCACCCAACACUACCCUGCAUCCGUACCAGACAACAUCUUUACUUGUCUGGAAGGUUUGUUAGAGGCCACCCAAUAUAGAAUUAACUUUGGAAUUUCUAUGAUCGAUCCACAGAAAAGGAAGGUGCACCUCGAUAUAUGUUGUAACAUGCAUUUAAUUCUUUUAAGUCUAUCUUAACUUUACUUUCAUGUUCGCAGAAUCCCUUAAAUUCAGAUGUGAUAUUAGUUCAUUUAUUUUUCCUCUUAAACUUAGGGCGUGACGUGCCCACCAACUUGUGCUUAGUUGGUCCCAACCUACCUCUUACUAUCCAUUUCUAACUUUAUUGUGUCUAAUUUUACUUUAGCUGUUUUUGUAGUUAAUUACUUUCGAUAUAGUUAGAGGAUAUUAUCGAUCAUCGCACUUAUUUCACCUUUAAUUAACAAAUGAAUCCGGUUAAAAUCACAACUUAAAAAAUUCCUCCAAAUAUGUCCUUUGUACAAAGUACUAAAAUUGUAAUUUAAUUAACUUUAAAUAUAUAUACCUAAUGCAAAUGGAGUUGAUUGGGGUAGAGGUAGUUCGUAUUUGUGCUUAAUACAUAAUUAAGUAGUCAAAGCCAAGGUUUAGUCUUGACUCUUGGGAUUAAACUAAUCUAUGAAUUUGGACUUGUAAAUAACAAAUCACAAACCACAAAGCAGGCCAAAUUCACCUAGGAAUUAUGUCAGCUUUCAAAGGUUUUUCCAUCACCACUGUGAACUCUAUUUUCUCUCCCAAACUAACUUCAUCUCCCUUUACUUCCUUCCAUUCAAACCUCCAUACCAAAUUUGCAAUGAAGUACUCCAAAUGGAGAAUCGCCAGAACAAAUCCAGGACACAUCCUUCUUCCUGCUCCGAACGGCAUCAUUUUUAUCUCUUUGCUUCCUGUUAUAUCAAACACAGCUCCUUCUCCUUCACCGCCUUUCAAGAACCUCUCCGGCUUAAAUACCAUUGGAUCUUCCCACACUUUUGGAUCCAACCCCAUCUCCGCCACCAUGAAAUUUACUGUCCCAUUCUUUGGUAUCACAUAGUUUUCCAAUAUCGUGUCUUCUUUCACUGCAUGUGGUAACACGAAAUGCCCUGGUGGGUGUCGUCUUAAUCCUUCUAAAACCACUGCUUUUAGAUAUGGAAGUUUCUCCAAAUCCUCUUCCUUCACCUCAUCCUCUGUUGAUCCAUUUCCCAUUACUCCUCUAAUUUCUGCCAAGAGUUUGUUCUGGAUUUUUGAGUUUUUCACUAUAUUCGCCAUUAUCCAUUGCAGUGCUGUUGAGGUGGUAUCCGUGCCUGCGUUGAGGAACUCUGAGCAUAGGGUGACUAUUUCCUCAUUAGAAAGCUUUCUAUUGUCCUCAUUGGGGAGCUCCAAAUCGAGCAAUGUGUCCACAUAUGACACCACAAAUUCUUCUUUUUCUUCAUUUUGAGCUUUGUUGGCCCUGUUUUUAUUGGCCUUCCUUCGUUCUUCGAUCAAACGAUUUAGGACAUUCUCUUGGUUUUUUCUUAUUUGGAGAAAGGCCUCCCAACGUUUUCUGAGCAAAAUCUUUGUGAAUUUAGGCCAGAAAUUGAAAAUGUUGAAACGCUGAAAACUCAAUAUAAGCUCUCGCUCUACUUUCUCGACUUCACGAAUCUGGGACUCCUCAAGCUUAUCCCCAAAACACAUCAACACCAACAAACAAAACAUGGCAUAUUGAAAAUUCUCGACGACUAAGACGGGUAUUUUAGAUUGUGAGUGAGAUUGAAGGCGACUGAGAAGAAUAUCCAAAACCCACCUGCGAGCUUGGCUGUAGAAUACGAUACGAGAAGAAUGGAGGAUUUGGGAAGUGAGAUUGCGACGGAGGAGGCGCCAGAGUGGACCGUAAGAUGCAGAGCUAAUGCUGUAUUGAUUGGAAGAGAUGACCUUGCUCAAGGGAGGUGCCGGAGGACGGUCGGCGAAGAGAGCGCCGUGUUUGAAAAGAGCUUUAUGAGCAAUGGAGCGGUCGGCAAUGAAGACGACGGGGUGGUUGCCAAUAGGGAGGGUGACGACAGGGCCAUAUUUGGUGACGAAACUGCGAAGAAGAGAUUCAAUUUGGAGAGGGGAUCUGCGGAGCCAUUGAAAAUUAGUGAAGAUGGGAAUUGAAGGAGGGCCCGGUGGAAGGUUGGAGGAGGUUCGAAAAUGGGUAAAAAUGGAGGUGAGAAGAGAGGAGAUGCAGAGGGAAACGAGGAUGACGAACCAAAUCUCCAUUUCUUUUGUGCGUUGGAGAUGGAGAAUGUUGAAAUCAGCAAAAAAAAAAGAACCCCAUAGGCUAUAUAUAUGCUUGUGGCACAAGCAACAGAGGCCACACUUUUCUUCUUCUUUUCUUUUUGUUACUAUUAUUAGGAAAAAUAUAUAAUAAUAUAGUUGCAAAAGAUACUCAAUGAGAGGAAAAUGUUUUUGAGCUCCUAACAAAAUUAUAACGGGAAACAUGUCACUCUAUUUUCUAAAUUAUAAAAGUACCAAAUUUAAAAGUUGAUAAACUUACAUUUCAUGGUCAUAUGAUAAUCGUUUUAUAAUACUCAUUUUGUCAUAUUUGCAUAUGCAAAAAGUAAGUGUAGCUAUUUUUUUCUAAAUGUUUUUUUAUGUAAUAUUUUCUAAAGUUUUUACACAUAUAACAAAAUAAUUUGGAGAGAACAAAAUUAGAUACAACUUUUGAAGGAUGUGACUUAUAGACCAUGGCAAUAGUCAUAUUGGAUAUUUUCUUAUAAUCCUAAAUAUUUGGAAAAAACUUGUUGUGAAACUUAUAGUCAUAUCAACUAUAACCCUUUACUUUUCUAAAUAAAUGAAUUUAGACUUUUGUUCAAAGUUUCAUUGAGAAUUGUUCACCAAUUUACACAAAGUAAAACCACAAUUGAAUAUUUGAUAAUCAAUGCUAGGACAAUACAAAUUAUAAUAACUACAAACUUCAAGUUUUCUCACAAACUUCGUCGUAAGUACGACACACUCAAAUGAGAAACCCUAAAUCACUAAAUUAAAGUGUGUUCCCAACUUAUUCUCUUCGUUAAAGAAUGGUUGGCGUGGGAUCCUUGUUAGAAGGCAAAAGGAACAAGUUGAGAGCAUAAGAUGGAUAGAGAAAGCUUGAUAGUUUUGUUCUACCAUCUUAUCAUCUAAAGGCAGGAAAAAUUUUGAAAAUUUCCAUACGUACAAAAGUAUUGUAGGAGCACUACAAUAUGUAACAAUCACAAGACCUGAAAUAGCUUACUUAGUGAACCGUGUCUGUCAAUUUAUGCACAGUCCAAAACUAUCACACUGGCAAGCAGUGAAAAGAAUCCUUCGAUACCUCAAAGGAACAUUGAAACAUGGGCUGCUACUAAAGGAAUCUACCAACUUUACACUUCAGGCCUUUGCUGAUGUUGACUGGGCAUCACAUCCUGAUGACAGAAGCUCAACAUCCGAAAUAUGUGUGUACUUUUUCAGAAAUUUAAUCACUUGGGAUCUAAAAAGCAACAAACAGUGUUUAGAUCAAGUAUUGAAGUAGAAUUUCGUUGCCAUGCAAAUGUAGCCACUGGACUUGUAUGGUUAGCCUCUCUCUUCAAAGAAAUGAAGAUCCUUCUACCAAAACCACAAAUAUUGUGGUGUGACAAUCUUGGAGCUGCUCACCUAAGCGCAAAUCCAAUACUUCACUCAAGAACAAAACAUGUAGAGCUAGACAUUUAUUUUGUGAGAGACCUUGUUCUGCAACGAAAGAUUACAGUUCAACAUCUUCCAGCAACAAUUCAAGUUGCAAUUAUAUUGACUAAGCCACUAUCUGCACAUUCCUUCAUUCCACUUCGAGCAAAACUAGGUGUUACACAUGCUGCAGACAUUGGCUUGAGGGGGGAUAUUAAGGCUGCUCACUAACACACAUUUUAAAACUGUUACUAAACAGUUUAGUUAUUUACUGUUAUUAAACAGUUUGGUUGUUUACUUUUAUCACUAAAUUAACAAAAUAAUGAAAAUGAAUAGUGAGAAAAGAAUGUACUGUAGUCAUUAGUUGCCAAUCAAAAGGAAACCAGAAACUACUCACAAUUGUCAAUAAAAUUGGAAUUCAGGCCUUACUUUUGUAGCGUGUAAGAAAGGAAUGUAUUCGUUAAGUGCGAACUCUGUGGAAAGUGUUAAGUUAAUAAAGAGAAGUUAUGUUUGUUUCGCUCCAUUAGUAUUUGUACUUAUCGUUUAGUAGUUGAACUUAAGUUAAGUGUUGAAAGCUAAAGGGUUAAGUAUUUCCCUUACAAUGAGUUGUUAAAGUCCCUUAAGCCAUGCAAUGAGACAGGUUGGAAUGAGUUGUUUCGCUUACUAGGCGAUCAACACGUCAUCUCAGGAUGGGAUACGCGGUGAGUGUCUAGGUUGCACGUCCCCAUCUGGUCGCAGGAGGUAGUAUUUGGGGCAGGGCGUGACAAUUUGUAAUAUAGUUUAUUAGUGAUAAACUUUAACAAAUUUUGUUAUAUUUGCAAUUUUGUUUUUGGAAAUUUUGCUAUGUAUACUAAUACUUUAAGUAUAGUUGCUAUAUUUGUGUCUGUCUUUAUAUUUAUAGUGAAUUGCUUACUAAAUAAUUAACUUCAUUAGUGUUAUAUAUUUGGUAUUUUGUUAUAUUUAUGAAAAUUAAUCUAUAUAAUUUUGAUUAAUUUUCGUAAAUGUAACAAACACAAAAAUAUUUACAACAAAAUUAAAAAGCCCAUGAAGUCGAUAAAAUGUUUUCAUAAUUCUAGAUUUGGCUUUGAUAUUGCAGACGAUUCAUCACUUGUUCUUCUUCGUGUUUGCGAUUUAUUCAUCUUUUCUUCUAGACUUCUUCAGCUCCUCUUCCAAAUUUUGUUUCUUUUAUUUUUAAACGAUUUAUUCUUCUGUUUAAAUUUCAACAAUAUUCAAGAUUGUUUAAAAAGAAUAUUGAACUUCAUCAAAAUAUUAACUUUAUCUUUCUCGUAUUCAAGAAUAUUAAGAUUGUUUAAAUAUCACUUUGACAUGAUCUAAAUGAUCGUUUACCUAGUCAACAUGCUCGUUAGCAGGUCAACAUGAUCGUAUAUAUUUGAAGCCCCUUUUUCCUUUGUUUAAAAAGAACUACACGAUCGUGUGGAUAUGAUAUAAACAACAGCUUACCUUGUCAACAUGACCGUUUAAUAUGGUUAAUACAAUCGUUUAGAUUUGAAUCCAUUUUCACAUUAUUUAAAAAGAAUUACACGAUCGUGUAGAUGUAGUGUAAACGAUUGUUUACCAUAGUCAAUGCGAUCAUUUAGCGUAGUCAACACGCAAUUGUUUAUAUUUGAAGCAUGUUUUUUCAUCAUUAAAAAAAAAACUAUACGAUCGUAUUAAUACUACCUACACGGUCAUGUUAAUACUACCUACACGAUCGUGUAUCAUUUUCUACAAGAUCAUGUAUAAUGUUCGUUUAGAAAAAUAAUUAUACGUGUGAGUGUGGACGAUUAAUGACUUGUUGACAUUUUAUUGUAUUUCAUAUUGUGGACUACGAGUUGUUAUAUUUUUUUUAAAACCCCCUAUUAUUUUUAUAAUAAUAAUUAUUUAUAUUUGUAAAUUAUUAUUCAUAACUUUAAACAUAGUUUAACUAAUUAAAAUUAGUGAUAUACUAUUGUUACUUAAAAAAAGAGUACGUGUUUGAAUGGACGCCAUCAACAAACGCAAUGUCAAUGUGCUUCGAUGGAACCUAUCAACUUCUAAAUUCACUCAUAACUCAUAUCUCUAUUUUCCUUUUUUUUUUUUCAAUGUCAACUCCCACUUUUCUUUUUCGUUUUUAUUUAACUAAUAUUCUUCUAAUUUGCUCACUUCAAAGUUGAAAAACUAACAUGGAACUGCGUUGACAACACCAUACAUAACAAUACAUCAUUUUUAUAUUGGAUUCAAUCCCAAACAAUUUACACAAAAAUGGAGAUCUGCUUCAUCCUCCUCAUCUCCCUCGCCAUCUCUAUUUUCCUCCACUCCAUUUUUAACCAUUUUCGAAGCUCCACCAAACUCCCACCAGGCCCUUUCUUCUCCUUUUCCAUCCUCACUGAACUCCUAUGGCUUCGAACAUCCUCCCUCCACAUCGAAUCUCUCCUCCGAAGCCUCAUUCCCAAGUAUGGCCCUGUCCUCACCCUCCCAAUCGGCCUCCGCCCAGUCAUUUUCAUCGCCGAUCACUCCGUUGCCCACAAUGCCCUUGUCCUUAACGGUGCUCUCUUCUCCGACCGUCCACCCGCCCUUCCGGUCAGCAAUGUCGUCUCCAGCAAUCAACACGACAUCAGCUCUGCCUCUUAUGGCCCACUCUGGCGCCUCCUCCGCCGCAAUCUCACUUCCCAAAUCCUCCAUCCUUCUCGUCUCAAGUCCUACGCUCCAGCACGCAAACGGGUUUUGGAUAUUCUUCUUAAUCGCCUUCAAUCUGACUCUCAAUCUGGAACUCCUGUCUCUGCCACUGAUCAUUUUCGGUACGCAAUAUUGUGUUUGUUGGUGUUCAUGUGCUUUGGGGAUAAGCUUGACGAAUCCCAAAUCGAUCGAAUCAAGAAAGUAGAGCGAGUAAUCAAGUUGAAUUACGGUCGUUAUAACACUCUUAAUUUAUUCCCUAAAUUGACCAAGAUUUUGCUAAGAAAACGCUGGGAAGAGUUUCUUCAAUUAAGAAGGAAUCAAGAGGAAGUCAUUAUUCCUUUCAUCGAAGCAAGAAGGAAGAUCCAACAAAACAAAGAAAACAGAGACGAAAACAAAGAAGAAAUCGUGGUCUCGUACGUUGAUACGCUACUCGAAUUGGAACUCCCCGAUGAGAAAAGAAAGCUUACGGAUACCGAAAUGGUGACGAUAGCCUCUGAGUUUAUCAACGGAGGCUCCGAUACAACAUCCACAGCCUUGCAGUGGAUAAUGGCGAACUUAGUAAAAUACCCAGAAAUUCAAAACAAGCUUUUAGUAGAAAUGAAAGGAGUAAUGGGAGAUGGAUCAGAGGAGGAAGUGAAGGAAGAGGAUUUGGGGAAACUUCCAUAUCUGAAAGCUGUGAUUUUAGAAGGAUUGAGGAGACACCCACCAGCGCAUUUCUUGCUGCCACAUGCAGUGAAAGAAGAAACAAAGUUGGGAAAUUAUGUGAUACCAAAGAAUGGAACAACGAAUUACAUGGUAGCAGAAAUGGGUAGGGAUCCGAAAGUGUGGGAAGAUCCGAUGGCGUUUAAGCCGGAGAGGUUCAUGAAAGGCGGCGAAGAAGGAAUUGAGUUUGAUAUAACAGGGAGCAAAGAGAUAAAGAUGAUGCCAUUCGGAGCAGGGAGAAGGAUGUGUCCAGGAUUUGGUUUGGCGAUUCUUCAUUUGGAAUAUUUUGUUGCUAAUUUGGUAUGGCGAUUUGAAUGGAAGGCUGUUGAUGGUGAUGAAGUGGAUCUGUCAGAGAAGGUAGAAUUGACCAUUGUGAUGAAAAAGCCUCUGCAAGCCAACUUACGCCCAAGGUUUUAGAUUUAAGAGUUGAUUCUUAUAUCCUGUCCUAAUUUGAAGUUUUAAGAUUGAAAAGAAAUUGUUCCCUUUGAGCUAAGAAAAAUGUUGAUUUGCUUUCAAUGUUGUUUAUAACUGUAAUGUUGGUUUUGAAUGAUUUGGAGUAAAAGUUGUAUGUUUGUGAUUACAAUCAUAGUGGCUCAUUUGAUAGCAUAUAGGAGUGAAUAUUGAUUUACCUUCAAUAGUUAAAAAAUGAUAAAAGCUAUGAAUGUAAUUAAUAAACAUUGAAAUAAUAAAGUUAUUCCUCACUCUCGCCCAUGUAAAUUAACUUAGAGAACAUAUCCAAAUGGAUAGUAUUAUUUUUUAACACAUUCAAAUUUAAGGCAAGUGGAUAUGAUUAUCAUAUUAACAAAAUCACAUUUCUAUUUAAUGAUCUUCUAAGAAACAAACGUUCUAGACAUAAAAUCUCAAACCUAGUUUAUUAAUCUCUUGUAAACCAUGCAUGUCUCCCAACUUGAUUGACACAUUAUUGGGUGGCUACAAACAUUCUCUCUUACAAUUAUGAGAUUAAUGUUUCCACAAUCAAAUUAAAUUUGAAUUUGAAAAGUUGGGCUCUAAAUAUAUACAACUCUUGAAAAUAAAGACACUAAAUCUUCUUCCCAGGAAGACGAUUAGGCAUCGGUUAAGGUAUUCUUUGGCUUUUUAGUUUCUCUGUCUUUUAAUGACUGCAUGAGCGCAUGAUUGCACCCUAAAAACAAUUUAAGAAUCUAAAUCUUAAAAAAAAUGCAUGAGCAAAUUCUCUCAAUACCAAACUGAUAAAUUUGAUUUAUAGUUUCUCCCAUAAAAGAAUUACGAUGAAAUCUCAUGAAAUAAUUUUUAACCUGGACAAAUACAUACAGUUGUUAGUUGAGCUAAGGUCACGUGAGCUAGCUUUUACGAAUUCAUCAAAAUUUAAAAACUUUAAAUUACAAACUUUAAAUUCAACUCAUUAAAAUUAAACACAAUAACUAAUUUAAUCUCAAUAAAAUUUAUAAACCCAAAAUUAUAAACAAAAUUUCUUGAUGGACAAUACCCAUCAAUAUAUCAUUUUUUUGGAUGGACCUUACCCAUGAUCUUAUUUUUUUGUCUUUGUCCAUCAAGAAACAUUACACUCAUCAAGAAAAUUCUAAAUCCAUAAAAAAAUUCAAAACAAAUAUAUAUAUAUAUAUAUAUAUAUAUAUAUAUAUAUAUAUAUAUAUAUAUAUAUAUAUAUAAUUAAGAAAAUUCAUUCCUUGAUAGGUCUCGUCCAUCAAGAAAACCUAACUAACUUGAUUUGUCAGUCAACUAAUAUAUUUUUCUUUGAUGUUUAUUGUCCAUCGAUAAAUAAUUUUCUUGACGUUUGUGGAUAAUUAACAAAUUAAGGAAACUUUGCCCAUCAAGGAAAUCAAGAAUCCACAUUUUUUUGUAUUUCUUCAACAAAAUAAGGGAAAUUUUCUUGACAUACAUGAUCAUUAAGAUAAACAUUAUAUCAAGAAAAAUAUGGUUCUUUGCCAUGACCAUCAAGAAAUCAAAAUUUUCAUGCAUCAAGGAAGACCAAAUUUGUAGUAGUGUGAAUUGAAAGAGUCUGACACGAAUCACUCGAUGCUAAAUCACAAAGAGUGAAUUAGGAUCAAGAUGACAACAAAAUAGUCAAAAUAUUAGGAGCUUUACAAGAAGCGAUGUCUUUUUAAUUUACAACUUGGGAGUGUGUUAUUGUAAUGCCCUAAGUUUAGGAAGGGGAUACGAAUGAAGUGAGAUAUCAUGUGUGAAUGAAAGAGAUUCUAAGGACAUGAAAGUUGUGAGAUUUGUUUCUAACUUCAGUAUGAGAAAUAAAAUCUGGUUAAGAGUUUUAAAAUUGGCGUUUUGGAGAAGAGGAGGUGUUUUGAAAUAAGACUUCACGAUAAGAAGUUGACAUUUAAAUCAAUCAGCAGAAAGGAUUAAGUGAGAAAAUCUUAUAUGAUUAAGUAUAAGUUUUGUAAUUAAGAAGUUAGUCCACGAGGGAGUCUUGAGAAGAGAAGGAUUUGUGAUAAAACCUAUAAGUCUAAACACUCUCAAAAGAAAUAGUCUUCAUGGAAAAAUGUUAAGGUUGGGUAGUCUGCAAAAGAAGUUAUUACGUUAAGACCUUUGAAAGUUAUAUUAAGUGGUUGAAGUUAUUCGUGGAAUGAAUGGAGUUAGGUGAGAAGAAAGGAAUGACGAGAAAAUGUCAAAUAUAAUUUGACAAAAGUUAACGUGUAAGAUUAAGAAUUUAAGCAUAACUGAGUUAGAUAUUAAAUAUACACGUGUAAAGUUUUAAGCAAAAGUUGAUGAGCUGAGAAGAGUUAAGCAUGACUAAGCUAGUUUAAAGGUUCUAUAAAUAGAGGGCUUGGUCAUUAAGUAAGCAUGAAUAUUUUACUAAAAGGCUAAACUGCUGCUGUUUACUUUGGCGAAAAGAAGAAGAAGAACAAAGGGUUAAAUGUCGCGGUUUGUUUCGCAGAGAAGGCUAUGCUAGAAGGCUAAGUAUUUGUUAUUGAUCUUUUGCUUUAAAGUGUUCAUACGAUUUCAAAAUGUGUUUUAUAAUGUUUAAAGAAUUAUUUUGAUUAUUGAAAUUUAAAUUAUUAUAAAAUAGUGUUCAAACCAUUAGUUGCUUCCUUAAAUGAGUUAAUUGUUAUGUGCAUAUCUAUAAAAGUAUAUAUAAAAGUGUGUAUGAGGAGAAACUUUUUGUUUUCAAUUUUGGCAGUUUUGUUUGUUUCGUACUUGGAUUUUAUUGUAAUUUGCUUUACAUUUACUUUUAAUUUGAAAUUAAUUAUUGAAAAAUAUUUGGACAUAAAUAAUUUUAACAUUUUCUCUUCAAUUAAUUAUAUCAUUAAAAUUUCUCCAAAAACCAUUCUCAUUCCCUUAACUUCUACCUAUUCACAUUCAACUUUCUUGCAAAUUAAUUAUUUUGUAGUUACUUCAACCUUUAAAUUUCUUUUUCCUUUUCAAAUCUUCUCAUAUAAAUAUCACAUUCUUUUUCUUUUCUAUGCAUGCUCACAAUGAAAAGUUAAUAUAGUGUGAAGAAAUUAGUCUUCCAACAAGUUUAAAUAAAGAUUUGUGAGCCAAAGUUAUUACAAAAGAGCCCUGAACCCUUCAUCAUAUUUUUGCAACGUCUAGGAGCAACCAAUCAACCCAAUGUAAAAGAUGCAUAGAAAUUGAUGAGAAUUCAAGGAUGAAUAAUGUAAAAGUGGGAGACUAAAGAGAGAACUGUCAUAGACAUCAUUUCCAAAAAAUAAUAAAGUGACGUGCGAAUGCCAAAGAACUAUUUUUUAGUUUUUAAUUAUUGCUUUUGCUCAUGUUAUUUUUUUUCAUUUAAUUAAUUUUUUUUAUUAAUAAAAUGGUGAAAUGUGGUUAAUACAUUUUUAUUGUGUUUGAAUUAUGUAACUUUUGUUCCAAUCUAUCUAUUAGUUAUAGUUAAAGGUAAUACAAUGUGUAAAAGUAAUUAUUAGUUAUAGUUAAAGAUAAUACAAUGUGUAAAAGUAUAAAUAUAAGAGUAGUAUCUCCGUUCUGUCCUAAAAAAUUAAUUUAAAAUAAUAAAAACUUUAAAUUUAAUUAUUUUAGAAUUUUAAAAGUGUUAGAAGUUUGAAUAGUUUGAUCAAGUAAUUAUUAAAAAGUCAUAACAAAUUUAUAAUUUAACAAUAAAUUAUAAUAAAUUUAAAUUUUUGAAAAGUUUGAAAAUUUUAAUAAUUUAACCGACUACUCAACUCUUGAAAUUAAAUAGACCAUCUUAGCGUACAUUUUUCUAUAAAAAUCUUGUAUGUGUAUUUGUUUUUUCUUUUUCAAACUCAACCCUGUUUCAAAAUUAGUUGUUUGAUGUAUAAUGUACUAGAGCAUAAAAGAUAAUCGCAUUUUUUUUAUAAAAAGUUACGUGUGUUUAUUUUUGUUUUUCUUGACAGAUAAUUUAUUUAUUUGGUAUGAUAUAAGAUAUUAGAUAAGUGUACUAAGUUUUUUUUUUCCUUCCUAUAAUAAAUUAUAAAGUAAGUGCUUUAAUAAAUAAUGUAUAAUUAUAUUUGAAAAAGUAAUUUUAAAUUUGAUUUUAAACAUCAACAAGUAAAUAAAAGAAAAAUUAUCUCAAGUGCAUAUACUAAUCUCUUCCCUCCAAUAUAUGUUUUCACGUUUUCUUUAAUGAAUACAAUCUUCUUCCUACCAAGAAAUGAUAUAAACUUUGAAAAAAAAUAUUUUUAAAAUGAAAGUGGUAUGUUUUACUAAAAACAAAGUUUUGUUAUAAUUCAAGAAUUUAACAUUGGUUGUAAGUUUAUUUUUUAAUGCAUUAUAUCUUAUAGAAUAUACUAAACCUUAAACAUUAACGUAAAAUCAAUUUUAAUUUUCUCCAUUUUCCACUCUCAUUUUGGAAUACUUAUGAAAACAUUUUUUUCUUUAAUAAACUCAUUAUCCAAUAAUUUUAAUGAUAACAAUAGUAAUAUAUCUUUUAUACCUUUUAUUUUUAAAUGAUGUAUCUUUUGUACUUUUGAAAAUUAAUUUUGUUUAAUUUUGUUACACGUGAUUUUUUUUUAUUUUCAUAUUUUUUACAUUCAUUUAACAAGUUGAAAGAGUCACGUGCUAUACACAUGUUGAAUGACUAGUAAAGUUAGAGGUAACCAUGUAGAAAAGGCCUGCAUGGUGGAAUGAAGUCAACAAAUGUAGAAAAGAACUACAUUGUGCUAGGCAGCCUGAGUAACAAAAACGAAUUUGUAUGUUCUUGAAUGCUAUUGAUAUAAUAGUCUAAACGUGAAGUAAUGAAACCAAACAUAAAAAACGAUUCGAGAUCCUUGACGAAAUGAAUGGUUGUAGUGUACACCAAAAAAUAUUUUUUUUGAUCGAGACACAUUCUUGUGGUUUUGCAUUAAGGUUAUCUCUGGAUUAUGUUUGCUUCAAUGAGAAUUAGCUUGCAAUUGGUCAUGGUGAUGAUCGAGCACUUGCGGUAUUUUGUUUUUUUAUUUUUUAUUUUCAAGCAAUUUCAAUUGUGAUUUCGAUUGUGAACUUACAUUAAUGUGUUUACGCAAUUCUUUCAAUUUUGCUAUGAGGUUUCCAUCGUUCAUCAAGGAUUCACUUGCAAUUUGGUGAUUUUGAAGAAUACAAACCCAACGCUGAGUUGCUUUUCAUUUGUCGAAAUAUGUUUAUAGGUGAUUUUGAAGGUGUAUUCGUCUGUUAUAUAAUUGAGAAUUGUAAGAAAAAUGUGUACGUUUUGAAGUACAUACCGAUACCAUGUUGCACAAUUCGCAAUUAUAUGUUUAAUAUAGGACAUUAUUAAUCAAACAAUAAAUAAGAAACAAUUAUCAAAUACGUUUUUUGUUUCUGUUUUUUAUUUUUUUAGAAAAGAAACAGAAAUUAUCAAACAAGGAGAACAGAAACUUACCAAACUAGCCCUAAAUCACGUUCUUAAGUUCUUGGAAAACAUGAAACAUAAACUAAGAAAUAGGUAGGAAAUCGGAAGGGAAAUAUUAUUAAAUAGGGGUGAGUAGCCAAAGGAAAGAUUUAGGUUCACAUUUCACCGGGGAUUUAUUUUGGCUUUAAGAGGCUUUUCCAUAACCACCGUGAAGGCCACCUUCUCCGACAGACUAACUUCCUCUCCCUUCACCUCUUUCCAUUCAAACUUCCAUAUCAGGUUCCCAAUGAAAUAUUCCAUAUGAAGAAUCGCUAGUUCAAAUCCAGGACACAUCCUUCUCCCUAUUCCGAAUGGCAUCAUCUUUAUCUCUUUGCUCCCUGUUAUAUCAAACUCAACUCCUCCUCCUCCGCCUUUCAUGAACCUCUCCGGCUUAAACUCCAUCGGAUCUUCCCACACUUUUGAAUUCCAACCCAUCUCUGCUACCAUGAAAUUCACUGUCCCAUUCUUUGGUAUCACGUAAUUUUCCAACACCGUGUCUUCUGUCACUGUGUGUGGUAGCACGAAAUGUCCUGGUGGGUGUCUUCUUAAUCCUUCUAAAACCACAGCUUUUAGAUAUGGGAUUUUCUCCAAGUCUUCUUCCUUCACCUCUUUCCCUGGUCCAUCUCCCAUUACUUCUUUCAUUUCUGAGAAGAGCUUGUGCUGGAUUUCUGGGUUUUUCACAAUAUUCGCCAUUGUCCAUUGCAGAGCCGUGCAGGUGGUGUCGGUGCCCCCGACGAGGAACUCAGAGCAUAUGGUGACUAUCUCCUCAUUAGUAAGCUUUCUAUUGUCCUCGUGGGAUAGCUCCAAAUCGAGCAAUGUGUCCACAUAUGAUAUCGCGAAUUCUUCUUCUUCUUCCGUGUGGGCUCUGUUUACUCUGUUUUGAUUGACCUUCCUUCGAGCUUCAAUCAAAGGAAUUAGGACCUUUUCUUGGUUCCUUCUCAGUUGGAUAAGCAUUUCCCAGCGUUUUCGAAAUAGAAUCUUAGUGAGUUUAGGCCAAAAAUUGAGAAUGUCGAAAGGUGAAAAACUCAAUAUAAGCGCUCGCUCCACGUUCUCGAUUUCUCGAAUCUUGGAUUCAUCAAGUCUAUCCCCAAAGCACAUUAGCACCAACAAACAAAACAUGGCGUACUGAAAGUGCUCCAUGAAUAAGACGGGGUUUCCAAAUUCAGAAUGAGAGUGGAGGCGAUUGAAAAGAAUAUCCAAAACCCACUUGCGAGCUUUAGUGUAGGAACUGAUACGGGAAGGAUGAAGGAUUUUGGAAGUGAGAUUGCGGCGGAGGAGGCGCCAGAGUGGGCCGUAAGGAGCGCUGUUGAUGUUGUGUUGGUUGCUAGAGACGAUCUUGGUCAUGGGUAGGGUGGGUGGACGAUCGGCGAAGAGAGCACCGUUAAUGACGAGGGCCUUGAAGGCAAUGGAGCGGUCGGCAAUGAAGAUGGCGGGGCGAUUGCCAAUGGGGAGGGUGAUGACAGGGCCAUAUUUGGCGAAGAAACUGUGGAGAAGAGAUUCAAUUUGGAGAGGGGAUUUGCAGAGCCACUGGAAAUGAGUGAUGAUGGGAAAUGAAGGUGGGCAUGGUGGAAGCUUUGUGGAGCUUCGAAAAUGGGUAAAAAUAGAGGUGAUCAAGAGAGUAGAGAUGCAUAGGGAAACGAGAAUGAUGAACCAAAUCCCCAUUUUUGUCUUUGUGUUUUGGAGAUUGAAUGUUGAAUUCCACCGAGAGAAUUUAUAGGGGCGCUUGGUGCGAAAAUUAAAUGUUUGUGGGCUUGUUCGGUGUGUUCUAUGGUUCGAAAUUAUACAUAGUUACUCUUGGAGCGGAGGAUUUAGAAAUAUGGAUUUUUUAUGUCUGUGUUUGGAGUACUAGUUUUGAAUGAAUGGAUUGAACUAAUGAGAUACUUGCAAAAUGAUAAAAUAAGUUAUAAUAAUUAAGUUUAUAGCACACACAUUUUAUUAUUUGCAAAAAUAGCAAAAACGAACGAAGCCCAACCCAAACAUCAAGUGGUAAAAUAUCACAAAUACCCUUGUUACUAAUAUAUGUUUGAUACACCUUAUACACGUCUGAUAUACCUAAUACACCUCUUAAUACACCUUAUACUUCUUGAUACAUCCAAUACAUUUGAUUGAUACACUUGAUACAUCUGAUACUCUUUGAUACACUCGAUACCGAAACAUUACUAAUAUAUGUUUGAUACACCUGAUACACUGCAGAUACAUUUAGUAUUCUUCACUUAUACAAUCAAUUGAUUUAAUGCAUUUGAUAUGCUUGAAGUCCUACUUAUACACUUGAUAUACACUUGUAAACUUGUUUCAUAUACUUGAUAUUGAUUCACUUUACUGAUAUGUUUUAACAAUAUAUUGUUGAUAUACUUGAUAAUGAUAUACUGAGUUACAUCAUUCAUAUACUUAAUAAUACUCUAAUGAACUGCAUAACAUUUGAAAAAACGAAAAUCACAUAGUAAGUAUAUUAACCAACUAAUACAUAUAAUAUAAGUAUAUCACAACACUGAUAUACGAAAUUGAGACAAAGUAAAACCAAAAAAUUAAUGUAAAAAAACAAAACAAAAUCAUUUGGAAUCAAAUUCAAAUGAUUAUGACCUUCAAAAGUGAGAGCAUAAAUAAAUAAUGAGUAGGACAUUAAAAAGAAGAAGAGAAAUGAGUUAUUGAAUGGUAGUUUAGGAAUAAUAUCAAAUUUAAGAUGGAAAAGUGAAAAUUUUGUCAUAUUUGCAAAAUUCUAAAACAAUAUACUAUAAUUGCUAUAUCAUAUUCUCAAAAUACUAUCAUAUGCAAUUUUUCUUAAUUAAUUAAUGUAUCAAAUUUUUAAUUGAUUCAUUUCCUAUAUUUUCUAACUCUAAUUCAAUUGAUGGACUCUAUUGAUUUUCAUGAAAAUAAUAUAAAAAACAAAAAAAUUUAACAUUUGAUAAUAAUAAUUUUGAUUAUUGUUGCAUUAACAUGAAUAGUCUAAUUAGGAAUCUUACAAAUCAUUCACAUAAUAUAACAAUUAUAUAUUUGAAUAAGUUAUAAAAAUUCUAGUUAAACAGCGUUAAAAAUGGUCUAAUAAGUUUCAAUAUAAUUAUAACCAAAAGGUUCAUACAAAAGUGAAAAGUGAAGUAGAGUUAUAUUUACCUAUGCAUAGUUAUGAUUGUCUUUUUAUCAUAUUUGAAAUCCAAUCCGAUUUCACCCUAAUAUGCAUGCAUAUUUUAAAUCCAAUCUGAUUUGUAUAUAUAGCACAUGUUUUAAAGAUGUACUAACAUUUGGUGAAAACGGUCGUUGAUCAAUGGUAAAAACAAUCACAUGUUUUAGAUUUUAUCAAUCAUAAGAUAUUGUCGAAAGCAGAGCAACAACUGCAUAUGCGUAUGACAUUUCUUUAGCUACUUGCUUGAUUCAACUUGCUUAAAAGAUCUGCUUAGAAAAUUGAGGUUGUUUGUGUUUAUGGGUCACCCAAUUGCUGUCAAGAGUUUGUCCCAAAUUAUUUCUGUAACCUUACAAUUCAGAAGAAGGUGGUUGAAGUCUUCAUCAUUGGCAUACCCAAAGUAUCCAAAUAUACAUAUUGAAAAUAUGAAGUUUGAAAAAUGAAAAGAAAUACAUAAAACUAAAAUUAAAAACAAAUUGAUCAACCUGACUUAAAAAUGAUAGCCAGGACAGAGACAUGUGCUUGGGUGACCCAAGGCUGCAGGCAUUGAGCGUACUGAAAACAACAACAGUAUAAAUUGGCCACCUCUUUUUGUAUAGCAUUUAAAAGUUUUAUUUUUCCUUUCUUAAAAUAUGCUAUACAAAAACUCAAAACUCAAAAGAUACUAUUUCAUGUGCUGCUUCAGUAGAUACCUUUUAUUUUUCAACUUUUUUCUCUUUUAUGGUUCAAUCAAUUAUGAACUAAUGCCUAUGAAGAUUUACGGCCAAAUUUAGUUGUUAAAUUAUAUGUUUGAAUCUUCCUCAUGAAUCUUAAAUUUCUACUUGGAUUAGAGUUUCUAAAUGCUAAUUCGUCUAAGGAGAUGAAAAGUUUUAAAGAGAGAAAGAGAGAAAUAUUUGGAGAACCACACUUGGGUUUGUCGCUUAUCAUGGGGCCAAAUAAAAUUAGGGCUAAAUAAGAUAAAAUGGCAAUAAGAAAAUAAUUAUAAAAAUAGCAUAAUCAUUAAAAAAAGAAUUCUCAACAUUCUAUAUCGAUAAAAGUUCAUCGUUAAAAAGACCACAACCACACUGAUAAUUGGAGAGCUGCAAUGUAAUGUAGAUUAUUAGAAAUUAAGGGAGUUAAAAAACAUGAAUAGAGAAUAAAAAUGAGAUCAUGAAAACAUUGAAGAAGAGGGUUGAAUUGAAAACUGUCGAAAAGAUAUGAAUUUUGUGUAUUACAAAUUGGGUCUAAAACUUUCGAACCAAACAUGAAUUUUGGAUUACUUUGUAGUUUGUUAUCCAAUGUUUUACUCAUGUAUUCAAAAGGUUUUGUUUUUGUAACUUUCUCCACGACAUGCAUCUGGAAUUUAAACAUAUAGCCUAUGGUUUUGGAAUUUAAACAUAUAGCCUAUGUAUUCAAAAGGUUUCGUAGCAAUUAGAGCAACAAAUAGAUGAAAUAAUAUCUUUCGACUUCUUCCAUAGCAUAUCUAAAAUGAAAAAGAAAAAGCUAUCUUUAAAAGAUGUGGCCAAUUUAGAGUGUUGUGUUUUCUUAUGCUCAAUACCAGCCUUGGGUCCUCAUCCAACCACAGCCUCUCUCAGUCUGUCCCUGCUGGCUAUGAUCUUCUUCAAGUCAGUUUAAUUUCUUUUAAUUUUGGUUUUAUAUUUAUUUUCUUUUUUCCAACUUCAGAUUUUCAAUAUGUAUAUUUGAGUAUAUUUUCUCAAAUUUUGAAUUAUGUUUGUGUAUUGUUUUAAAUUUAACUUUAUUGUUUUUGGUAUAGAUCUUAAAGGGGCAUUUUUAAAAACAGAUAAAAACUUUUUUUUACCAAGACAUUCAUUUAAAUAUUUUGCAAUUACAAAAUUUACAUAAUAUUAUAAUUGGAAUUUGAGUUCACAUUAUCAUUUAGAAAAAAAUAGCUUGAGUGAUAAAUAAUCUUGCACGUCAAAUUUUAAGUAACUUAUGUGAAUGAUAGAAUCAGUUGUCAAAUUGUAAUUAAUCUUUAUAUUUGACAUUAAUGUAAACGUUUUACAAUUAUGAUUUUAUAUUUUAAUGCAUGCUAUAUACCUUUUUUAUUUUACAUAAUUAAAUGGUUAAUAUACGUUAAUGUAACAAAAACUCCUAAAUAUCUAAUAGUUAUAUGCAUAAAUGGCACAAGGAAAAAAUUUUAACUAAUAGCAAAUAUAGCACAAAGAUAAAAUAAAAGCAUUUAUAAGAUAAAAGUAGUAAAAUAUCACCAAAAUGCCUACAUCCAACCAUCAUUUUGAACUUUUUUUUGGUCAAAUUUAUCAAUUAAAAAACUAUUACCAAUAGCAUUUAUCAUUGGUAGUUGCUAUCACUGAUAUAUGCUAUUACGGAUAGAUUUCAAUUUGAGAAAUUUUCACACACUUCUUGAUUUUUUUCAUGUUGAAAGUUAUCACUAAAAUCUACUAUGAGUGAAUAUCACUAAUAAUUGUUAUCAAUUGUUGUCACGGAUAGCUACAGUACAAUCAAUUAGCUAUCAGUGAUAAUUAACUUGUAAUCAUUACAUUUUUUUUUUCUUAAAUUGAAAUUGAUCAUUCAUAGCAAUUGAUAACGGAUAUAUGUUGCUAUCACUAAAUAAAAACUAUCACUAAUAGCUUUUAAUUUGAGAAUGAAAAUAAUGAGUAUGAACGAAACCUUUUGAUGCACGAGCAAAACAUUGGAUAACAAAUUAAACGGCAAAGUUAUAUCCAAAAUAGAGGUAUGGUUUGAAAGUUUUAAACCCAAUUAGUAAUACAAAAUUCCUUUCUUUAUGACAAUUUUCAAUUCAAUCAUUUUCUUCGAAUGUUUUCACGCUUCAUGAUUUCAUUUUUAUUCCGUAUAUUCGAUUAUUACUCAUCUUUGAUGUUUUCAAUGCUCAUUUGUUAAUUACCACGGUGGUUGUGAUCUUUUCACGAUGAUUUUAAUAUUUUUAUAAUUAAUUUUUUUAUUGCUAUGGGUGUAAAGUAAACAUUUAAUUUUGUUAUUCAUAUUAUUCAGCCCUAAAUUUUAUUUCAUCCCAUUAUAAGUUGACAAACCCUAGCGUGGUUCUCCAAAUAUUUCUCUAGUUGUCUCUCUCUAAAACUCUUCACCUCCUUAGUUGGAUUAGCAUUUAGAAACUCUAAACCAAGUGUGGAAGAUUCAAACAUAAAACAAACCGUAAAUCUUCACAGGCAUAAAUUCAUAAUUGAUUGACCCAUGAAAAAGAAAAUAGUUGAAAAAUAUGAAACUAAAAUUUGAAACAUAGCAUAUUUUAGCCCAAAAAAAAAAAGAAGUACUAUUGUUAAUUAAAUGCUAUAGAAAAAGAUGUGGCCAAUUGAGAGUGUUGUAUUUUUUCAUAGUCUGAAUAUAGCAGCCUUGGGCGAUGCAAGCACAUACUGUCCGGCUAUUGUUUCCAUCUCAGUAUAAUUUAUUUUAAUUUUAGUUUUAUAUUUGUUUUCAUUUUUCAACUUCAAAUUUUCAAUAGGUUUUUUUCAAAAAUAUUACAAAACACACAUAUAUUCAGACGGUAUAGAACAAUUUCGAAAAUAGACAUAUAAUGUAAAAUAUAAAAAAUGUCUAAAUCAACGCGCGAUUAAUUGGCUACUUGUGCGAAUAAUAUAUCUGGUACAUUGUCACUGUUGUUUAGAUUUGGCUACAUGAUCACUAAAUGAUUUUUUUUUCAAAAUUAUUUGGUACACGAUCGUUUAAAUUUGGUGAUCGUUUACCUUUUGUUGUUUAGAUUUCGAUACCAAAUCCCAAAUCUACAUUAUUGUUUUUUCAAGAUUCUUUGCUAGAUAAUCGUUUAGAUUUGGUUAAACGGUUUUUUCUAAGAUUUUUUGUACACGAUCAUUUAGAUUUGACUAUCAAAUCUUAACGAUUUUUUUUUUCAUAUUCUUUGAUACGCGAUUUUUUCAACAUUUUUUUUCAAGAUAUUUUAUAUUUAGUAUACGAACUUAAACCAAAUAACACUUUGAAAAAAGUUAAUACAAUAUUUAUGAUUGAUUGAAAAAAAUCACUAUUUCAAAAAAAAAAAAUUAUGAUGUGGGUAAUGCCUUUGUGAAUAAGUACCCCAAGUUGUCGUUCGAAGAAAUUUGUUGAACACUAAUAUCACCACUUUCUUCAAGGUCAUGUAUAUAGAAGAGUUUUUGGUGAGAUUUGUUCUAUCUCCUUUUAUAUAUACCCUCAUUUAAUUUGUGUUACACAUGCAAUAUUGUUCUCAAAUAAUAAUGUUGGUGGAUUUUUAUUGAACGACAAACCACAUGUUUCGUGAAUAUGAUGAGUCAUUGACCUCAACCAUACACGUUCUCUACUAGCUUCAUGAAUUGCAAGAAUUUUUGCAUGAUUCGAUGAAGUGGCAGUAAUGGUUUGCUUUAAAGAUCGCCAAGAUAUAGCCGUUCCUUCACAUGUAAACAGAUAACCUAUUUGAGAUCUUGCUUUGUGUGGGUCCGACAAAUAUCCAACAUCUGCAUAACAAACUAAAUCAAAGUUUGAUUUGUUUGAAUAAAACAAACUCAUAUUAAUCAUCCCUCGAAGAUAGCAAAGUACAUGUUUAACUUUAUUCCAAUGUCUUUUUGUUGGAGAAAAACUAUAUCUUGCUAAUAAAUUUACAGAAAAUGCUAUAUUUGGUCUUGUGUUAUUAGCAAGAUACAUUAGUGCACCUAUUGCACUAAGGUAUGACACUUCAGGACCAAGUAAUUCUUCAUUAUCUUCUUUAUGUCAAAAGAUAUCAUUUUUCACAUCUAGUAAUCGAACCACUAUUAGAAUAUUCAAUGGGUGUGCUUUGUCCAUGUAGAAUUUUUUUAAAAUCUUUUUUGUAUAUAUCUGUUGAGCAAGAAAUUUCGGCCAAUUAAAUUUUGUCACAUCAUCACAGCAAAUAUUUACAUAAUUAUAUUUUAUUGGAUUUUGAUAAUUAAGUUUACUCAAUCCAAUCCAAUUCAAGACCAAUAAGCAGAUUAGCCAAGUUCAAGCUCAACAAGCGGAUGGAUCCAAGCCCAAUAAAGCAAAUGGGCUCAAGCCCAAGUUCAAAUCCAAUAAGGCAAAUGGGCCCAAGCCUAAGCCUAAUAGGCAAAUUGGUCAAAGUUCAAGCCCAACAAGCAAAUAGGCCAAAGCCCACCUAAAGCCCACAAAAUUUCUCUAUAAAUAUAGACAUUUGUCAUUCAUUUCAGGAGGUUUUUGGUUGAAGGAAGAAGUGAAGCUCUGAAGAAUUGAAGAUUCAAACUUCUACAAGCUCUCAAGACGUGCAAGUUCGUAUCAACCUCGAGAUCAACAACUUCUGAAAAAUUGAAGACUUGGAAGAUUAAACUUUUCUUGAAUUCCAGAAGAUCGAAGUUCAAAUCGACUUGCAACAACAAUAUCCUGAAGACCAAAGAUCGAGAAGUUCUAAGUUUUAACUUGUAUUCGAGAGAAAGCAUCAAAUGAGUAAAUACUAGAGAUUGUAUGCACAAUAUUCAAUAUUUAUCAAUAUAACAAAGUUCAAUUCCACGAAAUAUAUUUUCUCAAAAUCUCGUGUGAACAAUAUCGAUUGAUCAAUAAAAAUUUUGUCGGCUAAAUGCUCGAUUUGUAAGCCAAGACAAAAUUUUGUUUUGCUAAGAUCUUUCAUCUCAAUUUCCUUUUUGAGAUAUUCUAUUGUCUUCGAAAGCUAUUGAGCUCCAAUUAUAUUUAAAUCAUCAACAUAUACAGCUAUAAUAGCAAAUUCUGACUACGAUUUCUCAAUAAAAACACAUGGACAGAUUUAAUUAUUUUGAUAAUCUUCUUUCAAUAAAUAUUCACUUAAGCGAUUGUACCAUAUUCGUGCUGAUUGUUUCAAUCCAUGUAAUGAUCUUUGUAAUUUGAUUGAAUAUAAUUCUUCAUAAUUUAAAUUAUAUGAUUCAAGUAUAUCCUUUGGGGAUUUUUAUAUAGAUUUCAUUUUUCAAAUAUUCAUACAAAUAUGUUGUAACUAUAUGUAUAAGAUGCAUGUCAAACUUUUCACAAGGCCGAGAGAAUGAACCACCCUCGGAAAGUUCAAUGAUUUAACUAGUUCAAUUUCAUUUGCUUUAUGCUUUAUUUUCAAGCUAAGACAAAACAUAUAAUCUCAAAUUCUUUCUAGAGAAAUUUUGUUGCCUUUGAAAUCUCUUAAGUACUCAAAUCAUCAAUAAUAUAUAAUAAAUCUUAUAUUGUGAUUUAUUUUAAAAAGCAUACGGACAAAUAGGGGUUAUUCUUAUACCCUCGUAUCAACAAGAAUGUAAUAAGAUGAUGAUAUUCGUCUGGAAUAUUUUAUAAUUAACUCUCUUAUUGUUGAAUCAUAUGUUUUUCUAACCUAUAAUCCUUCAGAGAUAGAAUUAUUAAUAGAUCCAUAAGGUGUAUGUUAAGCAUUCCAUACACAAUAAGAUAUGUUAGAUAGUAUCCACCAUAGGAGAAUAUGUAUUUCUCAUAUAACUAAUAUCAGUUCUUUGCGAUAAUUAUUAUGGAACUUGUCCCACUUUCUAUUUGUUUUUCUUACAAAUAAUUGCUUGUAUUUUGCAUGUUCGACAUUCUCUAAAUGUCUAAACUACUAGUUCUCACAAUUUGAAACAUAAGUUUAUUUGAUUGGAUUGUUUCUUAUCACAUAAGUCAAUCCUUUAUGUGUCGUCGCGACAUUGUUCAAUAUGUCCAAGUACAUAUUACUUAUAAAAUAAUACUCAUUUUCAUAUAAAUAAUAUCGUGAGCAACAUUGUAUGCAAAAGUGUUGUCAAUUUAUUUAAGUAUGGUUCCAUCUUUAUCUUGUCAUGACAUAUAAUCUUAUCGAGAGCUCUUUACUAUCCUUAUUUACUUUCUAUGCAAAAGAUUCUUAUGAGUACUCAUAUUCAGGAUUUCUUCUAGAAUAUCCUUAUUCUUAACUGAGACAUUAAUUGACUACUUCUUCUUCGAGGAUCUUUCUCUUUGGAACUCACAUUUUUCUGCCACACUUCAAGCGUGUAGUAUUGACAACUAUGUAGUAUUAUCUUUGUAACCACUAUCACUCGAUCACUUUCUAACAAUUGUAAAUGUUCUAUAAAUGUGUUUGUAUUUGAUUUAAUAUCGUUUUAUUACAAAUGAGACAUCUUUUGAACUUUUAGUUCAAAGUAAUCUGUAUGAUGAUCAAAAUUAGACAAUACUUAUGCAUUUCAUCCAUUGAUUUUCCAAUAUUUUCUUAAUUUCUUCUCUAAUGUUGAAAUUUUGUCUCAUUAAUGAGAACUAGCAAACUGCAUAGCAAAUAUACCAUUCAUCCAGGAUUUAAUUGUUUCAUCAUCUUAAACAUGAUCUCAUAUAGAUUUAGAAGUUUUGCUAUUCAAACAUAAGCUACAAGAUAUUCAUUCAAUUAUUUCAAUCAAUUAUCAAAUGCUCGGGAUGCAAACUCACUAGCAUUCUCAAAACAAAAUAAUAAGUAUAUCUUUGACCAUCAACAAAAUGCACCAACAAGAAUUAAUAAACCAUGAAUCUGAUCUUCCAAAAAGCACGAGAGUUUCGAUUUCAAAAUUUGCUAGUGAGAGUUUGAUAAUUAACCUCUUGAGAACAAGAUAUCCUGACAAUUUAUUACAUAAAAGAAUCUUCUAGUUCUUCAAUGGAUGUCAAUGUAUAUUUUCAAUAAUGCAUCAAUUUCAUUAUCGACCCAAAAUGACUCUCAUGUCAAAUAAAGUUAUAUUUGGAUCAAUGAACUUCAGGUUCAUUGUUGCAUAUAUAUCAAUUACACGAAUGUGUGUAAUAUAAUUGAGAAGUAAAAGUACACAAAUUUUCUAUAUGCACUACCCGCAUAAGAUUAUGUAUAUAAUAUAUGUAUUUCAUAUAUUAUUCUUAAAAUCAAUCUAUUUAGAUGAUAUCGAUUACAACAUAUGUCUUCCCAAUUUACUAAACUUCUCUUGAUAGAUAUACAAAGAAUUAGUAAAGUAUAUUAAGACGAUCAAUCAAGACUAUCAAGUUUUGAAGACGUAUUGUUUACUUUAAAAUAUAAUAUGCAUAGAUGUACAAUAUGCAACGCAUAAAUAUCAAUUAUUCUUAUUCUUUCAAGAGAUUAAAAGGAAAUUCAAAUAUUUCAUCUAGAUAUAAAUGGUUAAAAAAAAUAAUAAUUUUUUUUUUGGGAGAUUGUAAGUAAUUUGUGAUAUCUAAAUAAUAUCAUAUUUAUAAGGUUAAAAUAAAAGUUACGAUAUCUUUAAGAGAUACAAAUAAUUUCUCAAAGUUUGUUUUCAGACAUCGGUCUCCUUUUCAUCUUUAAGAAUUUUAAUUUUUCAAAUUGACUCUUAACGUACGACAAGUACAUGAUCAUUAAGUACAUGAUUAUUGUAUUUUUUUCCAAACCAUAUUUAGAAAAUAAAAUUCUCGUAUAAAUAUGUAUGGUUUUAAUCAAAUAAACACUUCUUCUCAAUUAACAUAAUUUUGAUCUUACUAAAUAUUGUGGGGAUAGUUGCAAAUUUAGCAAUUAGAUUCAAAUUCUUUCAAGAGAAAUUUUGUUACGUUUGAAAUCUCUUAAGGAGUUUCUACUCAAAUCAUCAAUAAUAUAUAAUAAAUCUUAUAUUGUGAUUUCUUACAAGCAUACGGACAAUACGGACAAAUAGACAAAAUUUCAACAUUAGAGAAGAAAUUAAGAAAAUAUUGGAAAAUCAAUGGAUGAAAUGCAUAAGUAUUGUCUAAUUUUGAUCAUCAUACAGAUUACUUUGAACUAAAAGUUCAAAAGAUGUCUCAUUUGUAAUAAAAUGAUAUCAAAUCAAAUACAAACACAUUUAUAGAACAUUUACAAUUGUUAGAAAGUGAUCGAGUUAUAGUGGUUACAAAGAUAUCAUCUAAGAAUGAUAUCCUAGUGCAACAAGUUGACAAUACUACACGCUUGAAGUGUGGCAGAAAAAUGUGAGUUCCAAAGAGAAAGAUCCUCGAAGAAGAAGUAGUCAAUUAAUGUCUCAGUUAAGAAUAAGGAUAUUCUAGAAGAAAUCCUGAAUAUGAGUACUCAUAAGAAUCUUUUGCAUACAAAGUAAAUAAGGAUAGUAAAGAGCUAUCGAUAAGAUUAUAUGUCAUGACAAGAUAAAGAUGGAACCAUACUUAAAUAAAUUGACAACACUUUUGCAUACAAUGUUGCUCACGAUAUUAUUUAUAUGAAAAUGAGUACUAUUUUAUAAGUAAUAUGUACUUGGACAUAUUGAACAAUGUCGCGACAACACAUAAAGGAUUGACUUAUGUGAUAAGAAACAAUCCAAUCAAAUAAACUUAUGUUUCAAAUUGUGAGAACUAGUAGUUUAGACAUUUAGAGAAUGUCGAACAUGCAAAAUACAAGCAAUUAUUUGUAAGAAAAACAAAUAGAAAGUGGGACAAGUUCCAUAAUAAUUAUCGCAAAGAACUGAUAUUAGUUAUAUGAGAAAUACAUAUUCUCCUAUGGUGGAUACUAUCUAACAUAUCUUAUUGUGUAUGGAAUGCUUAACAUACACCUUAUGGAUGUAGUCAUUAUACAUUUAUAUGAAUCUAUUAAUAAUUCUAUCUCUGAAGGAUUAUAGGUUAGAAAAACAUAUGAUUCAACAAUAAGAGAGUUAAUUAUAAAAUAUUCCAGACGAAUAUCAUCAUCUUAUUACAUUCUUGUUGAUACGAGGGUAUAAUUAACACAAUAUAAGAUUUAUUAUAAGACAAAUGUUGAAAUUUUGUCUCAUUAAUGAGAACUAGCAAACUGCAUAGCAUUUUCAAAACAAAAUAGUAAGUAUAUCUUUGACCAUCAACAAAAUGCACCAACAAGAAUUAAUAAACCAUGAAUCUGAUCUUCCAAAAAGCAUGAGAGUUUCGAUUUCAAUUUUUGCUAGUGAGUGUUUGAUAAAUAACCUCUUGAGAACAAGAUACCCUGAAAAUUUAUUACAUAAAAGAAUCUUCUAGUUCUUCAAUAGAUGUCAAUGUAUAUUUUCAAUCAUGCAUCAAUUUCAUUAUUGACCCAAAAUGACUCUCAUGUCAAAUAAAAUUAUAUUUGGAUCAAUGAACUUCAGUUUCAUUGUUGCAUAUAUAUCAAUUACACGAAUGUGUGUAAUAUAAUUGAGAAGUAAAAGUACACAAAUUUUCUAUAUGCACUACCCGCGUAAGAUUAUGUAUAUAAUAUAUGUAUUUCAUAUAUUAUUCUUAAAAUCAAUCUAUUUAGAUGAUAUCGAUUACAACAUAUGUCUUCCCAAUUUACUAAACUUCUCUUGAUAGAUAUACAAAGAAUUAGUAAAGUAUAUUAAGACGAUCAAUCAAGACUAUCAAGUUUUGAAGACGUAUUGUUUACUUUAAAAUAUAAUUUGCAUAGAUGUACAAUAUGCAACGCAUAAAUAUCAAUUAUUCUUAUUCUUUCAAGAGAUUAAAAGGAAAUUCAAAUAUUUCAUCUAGAUAUAAAUAGUUAAAAAAAAUAAUAAUCUGUUUGGGAGAUUGUAAGUAAUUUGUGAUAUCUAAAUAAUAUCAUAUUUAUAAGGUUAAAAUAAAAGUUAUGAUAUCUUUAAGAGAUACAAAUAAUUUCUCAAAGUUUGUUUUCAGACAUCGGUCUCCUUUUCAUCUUUAAUAAUUUUAAUUUUUCAAAUUGACUCUUAACGUACGACAAGUACAUGAUCAUUAAGUACACGAUUAUUGUAUUUUUUCCAAACCAUAUUUAGAAAAUAAAAUUCUCGUAUAAAUAUGUAUGGUUUUAAUCAAAUAAACACUUCUUCUCAAUUAACAUAAUUUUGAUCUUACUAAAUAUUGUGGGGAUAGUUGCAAAUUUAGCAAUUAGAUUCAAAAUAAUUAAGUAUAUAUCGACAUUUUAAAAAAAUUACAAAUAUAACAAAAUUUGUCAAAUUCUAUCCAUGAUACAACUCUAUCACCGAUAGACCAUGUUGUAAAUAUUGGUCUAUCACUGAUAGAUCAUAGAAGUCUAUCAACGAUAUAAGUCUAUCAAUUACAAUUACCGAUUAUUAUUUGAGUUAAAGUUUAAUUGAGUCCAAAGGUAAGCUUAAUUUAGCACAAAUGCUAAUAAUGUCCAAACCCAACUAAUUAAGCUCAUAGGCAUAAUGCAUGAACCAAAGCAUACAAGGAAUUCUUCCAAUAAUUAGAAGACUUCUUAGCAAGACUUCGAAGUUGAAUUACAUUUUGAUCAUACGCAUUCAAUUGAGAGAGAAUUAGAGAAUCAGAGAAUAAAGUGCUAGAGAUCAAACUACAUCGCAUCUUAAUCUACACGAACACAAGUUCAACUACACAAAACAUGUUUCUCCAAAACCUCAUGUAAACAUUUUCAUUUAAAUUCUUCGAAUGAAAAUUUUCAAAAUUUACAUUUAUAAAAAUAAGUGUAUCUCUAAAUAAUCCUUAAAUAAAACCGUAGGCUAUAAUACAAACAUUAAUAGCCAAGAAAAUAAAUGACCAAUUUUAAAUGUUCCAACUCCAAAAGUGACUAAAAACAUUUGAUUUUUAAAUACAGUUAAACAUAUUAUUAGAUUCUUUCAAUUAGAAUGAGAUGAAAAUACUUUUAGUGUCUCUUCAUUCUGCACCAAUUUCUGUUAACAAGGUUGUCAUCUACCUCAACGCAACAAUCCAUUUGUGUUUAAUCUCGAACAAUUACUUUUAACUAGACCAACUUCUUUCCCAUAGAGUUCGUUCUCAAUUUGAUUAGCUUAACCACAGAAUCACAAAGGACAUGUCACCAAGACACUGAGUGCAAUGGACAAGACUCUGAUAUAGUUGUUGAUAAGAAACUCUCUAAGAAGGUAUCUCCACAUCCACUUGUUAAUCGCAGUCCAACGUUAACCAUGGUAAUAUUCAACAAAAACAGAACUAACUACCACAAUACAAACGCCUACAUCAGUAAGCAAACUUAGCUCACAGAACUUACAACCUCAGAAUUAUGUUUGCUUUCAGAGGCUUUUUCAUCACAACUGUGAACUCUAACUUCUCCGACAGAUCAACAUUAUCUCCCUCCACACCUCUCCAAUCAAACUUCCAUAAUAAAUUCGCUAAGAAAUAUUCCAAAUGAAGAAUCCCCAAACCAUAGCCAGGACAUAUCCUUCUCCCUGCUCCGAACGGCAUCAUCUUUAUCUCUUUACUCCCUGUUACAUCGAACCCUGCCGCUUCUUCUCCUCCGUCGCCAUUCAUAAACCUCUCCGGCUUAAACGCCAUCGGUUCUUCCCACACUGUUGGAUCUCGACCAAUCUCCGCUGCCAAGAAAUUCACAGUCCCGUUUUUGGGUAUCAAGUAAUUCUCAAAUUGUAUAUCCUCCUUCACUCCUCGUGCUUGUAAGAAAUGUCCUGGUGGGUGUCUUCUUAAUCCUUCUAAAACCACUGCUUUUAGAUAUGGAAGCUUCCCCAAAUCCUCUUCCUUCACUUCCUCCCUUGUUCCAUCGCCCAUUACUUCUUUCAUUUCUGUAAAAAGCUUGUGCUGAAUUUCUGGGUUUUUCACUAAAUUUGCCAUUAUCCAUUGCAAGGUUGUGGAUGUUGUAUCGGUUCCGCCAGUGAGGAAUUCAGAGCAUAAUGUGACCAUUUCGCUGUUCGUUAGCUUUCUAUUAUCCUCGUUGGGGAGUUGUAAUUCGAGUAGUGUAUCUACAUAUGACAACACGAAUUCUUUACCGUCUUCUUGUUCUUGUUUUUCACCUUCUCUCUUCCCUCUGUUUGCUCUGCUUUUUAUCGCUUCUCUUCUUGCUUCGAUUAACGGGAUUAUGACUCUCUCUUGGUUCCUUCUUAGUUGCAGAAACUCCUCCCAGCGCUUCGGAAGAAAAAACUUGGUCAAUUUAGGAGAUAAAUUAAGGAGACCAAAACGCCUAAAAUUUAACAGCAUUGUACGCUGCACAUUCUCGACUUCUUUGAUUUGGGAUUCCUCAAGUUUAUCCCCAAAACACAUCAACACCAUUAAACAGAACAUAGCGUACUGAAAAUGAUCUACAACAUAGACGGAACUUCCCGAUUCAGAGUGAGAGAAAAGACGAUUAAGAAGAAUACCCAAAACCCACUCGCGAGCAUGGCCGUAGGAUCUAAUACGGGAAGGAUGAAGAAUUUGGGAAGUAAGAUUGCGGCGGAGGAGGCGCCAGAGUGGGCCGUAGGCGGCGGAGUUGAUACUGUGUUGGUUGCUUGUGAGGAUUUUGGUUAAAGGAGGAACCGGUGGGCGGUCGGCGAAGAGAGCGCCGUGUUGGAAGAGGGCUUUGUGGGCAAUGGUGCGGUCGGCGAUGAAGAUGGAAGGGCGAGAGCCAAUGCGGAGAGUGACAAUGGGGCCGUAUUUGGCGACGGCGGUGCGGAGGUAUGACUCCAUUUGAAGAGGCGAUGUACGGAACCAUAAGAAGGUGGAGAGGAUGGGGAUUGAAGGAGGGCCUGGUGGGAGCUUGGUGGAGGUUUGGAAUUUGGUAAAAAUGGAGCUGAGAAGAUAGCAAAUGGAGAAGGAGAUAAGGAUGAUGAUGAACCAGGUAUCCAUUUUUUUGUGUGUUUGAGACUGAUUGACUCUUGAACUUGAAUCUGACUUUAAAUCCAAAUCCAUGUGGUAAUGUGUCAUGGAAUGUGGUAAGUGCAUGGAAAUGGCAGCUCUAAUUAUGUGGUUUGAAGAUAUUACUGUUGGGUUCAAUUAAGGAAUAUAAUUGCACUUAGUACAAACAAUUAACUUCAUCUUUUCAAACAAGUGAAUGGUAAUAUGAAAAGUGGCCUCAUUCCAUAAGCAAACACAUUCACUUCUAAAUAAAAAUAGCAUAUUGAUUUGACGUGCAGAAGAUUCUCAUUUCAAUUGCUUCGAAAAAAUUUUUACAUUAUAAGUAAAUAUGAUAAAAAAAAAAAAAACUCAAUUACACUUGUGCUACUAUAACAAUCGACGGACCAAUUGAAUUCUAUUAAGAUUAUACUAUUUUUUUAUUAUAUAUCGGUAAUCAUGACCUUUUUAUGAUUUGAAAUAUUGCAAAAUACAUUAUUGAUGAUAAAAAUUUGAUGUAAAUUUUGUUAGAUCUAAGUAUUGUGUUAAAUUUGGUCAUAUAUAUAUACCUUCCAAAACUACAGAUAUUAUGCAUGCCAAGUUUUGGAAUGUAUUAACCCUCCACAUCUUUUAUAAAAUGUAGUGGUGCCAAUAUUCACGAUUCAAUUCUAAAACGUGUUCAACGCUAUCAUACUCUUGUUUUUCAAUGAUUCUUUUUGAGAAAUUUAAGAGGAGUUUCGAGUAUUUGGCACCCAAUUUCAUUUCUCUCCUUCAUGACAUUAUUAAAGUUGACUGACAUAAAAAAAAGUAUUAAUUUUAGAAAACUCAUUUUUAUUUAUAUUCUUUUUAAUAAAAAUUGUUCAAAAUAUAUUUUAAAGGUUUUUUUGGAAUUGUUUCCAAGCCCUUAAAUAUAAACUCAUAUUGUUUUUAGGUUAGUUUAUGAAAUUUUCUCUCACCCUUCCUUUCAUUACUAUCUUGUUCACGUGUAUUAUUUGAUUACUUAAAUUUUCUAGUUACUCUACCAAAUACACUGUAUUGUUCCAACUGUUGUAAUAGAAUGUACAUAUCAUACUUUAUCCUCUAGCUUGUCCUCUUUCUCCUCAAGUUCUUCCUUUACAUUCCUUAAUGCCUUCUUCCUUCUUUGCAGUGUCCUUUUUCCAAUAUGCUCAGUCACCGAGAUUUAAGAUAAAGUUGUAUUACCAUGCUAUUAUUCUUGUUUUUUUAUGGAACAUCUACUUCUUUUCAAACUUCAUAUCUAUAUCUGUAUUUAUAUAGGUUCCACGUUUUACUACCAAUAUCCAACCAUUGUGUUUUUUGUUUCAUGUUGUGCAAAGAUUUUUAGUUUUUUGGUUUUGAGAAUCAUUGUAGUUAGAAAAUAGAAACAUACCUCGUCUUCACUUUGUGAGAAUUAUUGGAACUUUGUUUGUUGUUUUUUUUCCACCAUUUAUUUUAGUAGCCCUCAAUCUUCAGCUAGCCCUUGUUCUUCCUUCUAUUAUCUCUUUUUUCAUAUCUUUAAUCAGUUUUUUAAAUUUAUUAGAUAAAAAAUAUUUGCUAAACAUCUCAUAUAUCUGUUGGUGAAUUCUAAAAAAAAAGUAGGGAAAUCUCCUUAUUAGAUAUAAUUUCUGUUUUCCCAACUAUUUCAAAUAAUUUUUCAUUUAAAAUUAUUUCCUAAAUCGGUAUUUCUUAAGAAUAUAAAAUCUUGUUCUUAAAAAGGAAACGUUGCUUUCAAAAAGAAAAAAAAGUUGGUUUGAGUUCGUUACCUUCAAUCAUGAAGCAUAGUAGAACGAACAACGUGUGGCAUUAAGAUAAAGGUAGGCGAGUGGCUGUGUUGUUUGUCAUUGGCGUGGCUGUGAACGCAACGAAUCUGGAAAUAGUAAGUAGACUAGAUCAGCGGCUGAGAACGUGAGGGAGUGACUUUUGACGGAGCGAAACGUGACAUAACAGAACUUGAAGGCUAGGAACGUUUGGGGUAGCACCAGCUAGCCGAACAUUUUCGAAGGAGCGAUGGUGGACGACGACUUCCAUCACGAGGAUUGAAUGAACGACAUCUGAGAUCAGAACGUCGACGAUUCGGACGGAGCGGUUGUGUUGCUUUCCUUUAACGCGACUGAGAAAGCGACAGAGCCGUGAAGAUAUACAAAUGGAUGCAACAGAGAGAAGGUUUGCUUGUUUGUGACGGAACCAAAAAGAUGGGGCGAUGAGAGGUGGAGAGAUGGAACGUUUACAAUUACCUGGUUGUGACAAAAGUCGUAUUUUUUGGUGGAAUAGCUUGAAGGUGGAGGUGGAAGUGGAAGGUGGGGAGACAAACCCAAGAGAGAAAAGAAGAGGAAGAGUUUUUUCUUGGGUCACGCGUGAAAAGUGAGAGUGAGUCCUUAGGUUGUGUAUACCUUGGUAGAAUGGACAGAUUGAUUAAUUAACUUGGUAUAGGAUAAAUACAAAAAAUAUUUACAAAUUCAAGAUCAUUAAUGGGUAAUCUAGGUUUUGAACCCAGAGUGAGUAAACUCUAGUAUAUGUUAAGGAACCCCUAAUAGUAAUUAUAUGCUUCUUUCGGUGGAACAGAGCACAUGUCACAUGUCAUGCUCCAUCCCAUAGAGCACCUUCUCACUCGACUCAAGAUGUGGAAUGAAGUCAACCAACAUCAUUCUUCUUCUAGUGUGGCAAAUUUUAGUUACAUAUUGUAGAUGGUUGUGGCAAAUUAGAUCAUCUACGACUUGUGGCAAAUUUUGUUCGACAGUGUGGAGUUUGUCAAUCAGCUAAAGGGAGCUACCAAAAUACAGAACGAAUUUACACUCCGUUAUCUGUUCUUAAUGAUAUUUGGUGAGACUUAUCGAUGAAUUUUAUUCUCGAGUUACCUAGAACAAAUGGGGAGUUGACUCUAUUUUUUGGAUUAUUGAUUGUUUCUCUAAAUGUCGCAGAAGUUUAAUUCUAGCACCAUAGCAAAGUUGGUUUUUUGUGAAAUUAUGAAACUACAUGGGAUUUCUGAAUCUCUGAGCUCGAACACAUGGACAUAUCGAAGUUGUCAACGAACUUUGGAGGAUAUGCUUCGUUGUUUCAUUGAAGAAAGGUCCUAGACAAUGGGAUUUACUUUCGCAUCUACCAAAUUCAAUAGGUUUCAAAUUGUUUAUACCAAGGUGUCUUUGCUCUAUUUGUAAUUUAUUUAAAAUGUUACUAUGAUCUUUGUUAUCAUUCAUAAAAUUGCUAUUGGUUAUAACUACCCAAUAUAAUUAGGUUGAGUGGCAUUUCAAAGAUGAUAAUUAAGGGUAGCAACUUUAUAGAAAUUUGUAAAUUUCUUAGUUAAAGAACCCUUUCAAUAUUUCAUAUUGUAAGGGUAGCAACUUUAUAGAAAUUUGUAAAUUUCUUAGUUAAAGAACCCUUUCAUUAUUUCAUAUUGGGCUUUUUACUUAUUCAAAAUGUGAAAAUAUUUGUGUAUUUCUAUUUUUUUUUUACUUUUUUUUUUUUUUGUUAUUUUUGCAGGCUACAAACAUAAAAAUGUAAUUUAUGAUUCUAAUUCAAAGUAGUUAAAUACUUUCCUUGAGUUACUCUUGAAAAAUUUACAACUUCCUCAGCUAAAUAAAAACUCAGAACAAAUCAAUCUAAUCUGACGCUAAAUCCUUUACCUCAUAUCAUAUAUGCAAACUGCAACAAACUAAUCUAAAACACUCCAUCCCUAAAACGCUACCACAUAGAACUGGGGAAAAUCAAACAUAGGCAAAUUUGAUGGCGUAGAUUUCAUAAUAGAUAAACACAAAACUAGCCAUACAGUAGAAUACGGCAACUUUAUGACAUUAGAAUCUACAAAUUACGUUGGCUUUAAGAGGUUUUUCCAUCACCACGGUGAACUCUACCUUCUCCGACAGAUCAACAUCCUCUCCUUCUACCCCCUUCCAUUCAAAUUUCCAUACCAAAUUCCCAAUGAAAUACUCCAGAUGAAGAAUUGCCAAACCAAAUCCAGGACAUACUCUCCUCCCUGCUCCAAACGGCAUCAUCUUUAUCUCUUUGCUCCCUGUUAUAUCAAACUCAACAACUCCUUCCUCUCCUGCACCGCCUUUCAUGAACCUCUCUGGCUUAAACUCCAUCGGAUCUUCCCACACUUUUGGAUCCCAACCCAUUUCUGCCACCAUGAAAUUCACACUCCCAUUCUUCGGUAUCACAUAAUUCUCCAACUCUGUAUCUUCUUUCACAGCGUGUGGUAACACGAAAUGUCCUGGUGGGUGUCUUCUUAAUCCUUCUAAAACCACCGCUUUCAGAUAUGGAAGUUUCCCCAAUUCCUCUUCCAUCACCUCCUCUCUUGACCCAUCUCCCAUUACUCCUUUAAUCUCUGCGUAAAGCUUGUUUUGAAUUUCUGGGUUCUUCACUAAAUUUGCCAUUAUCCAUUGCAAAGCUGUGGAUGUCGUAUCGGUGCCGGCGUUGAGAAAUUCGGAGGCUAUGGCAACAAUUUCUUCCUCUGUGAGCUUUCUCUUUUCCUCUGGGUGAUCCAAAUCGAGAAGCGUAUCGACGUACGACACCACGAAUUCUUCGUCCUGUUUUUCUUCUCCUCCUCUGUUUUCCUUGGCCUUUCUUCUUGCUUCGAUCAAUGGAAUCAGGACUUCAUCACGAUUCUUCUUGAAUUUAAGAAAGGUUUCCCACCGCUUUCGGAGGAAAAUCUUGGUCAAUUUAGGCCAGAAAUUAAGGAUAUUAAAACGCCUAAGAUUUAUCAGCAUUAUAUGAUGUACGUUCUCGAUUUCCUUAAUCUGGGAUUCGCUAACUUUAUCCCCAAAACACAUCAACACCAACAAACAGAACAUAGCGUACUGAAAAUGAUCAAUAACGCAAACAGGAUUUCCCGAUUGAGAUUGAGAAACAAAUCGAUUAAUAAGAACAUCCAAAACCCACUUACGAGCACGGCCGUAGGAUUUGACACGAGAAGGAUGGAGGAUUUGGGAAGUAAGAUUACGGCGGAGGAGACGCCAGAGUGGGCCGUAAGAAGCGGUGUUGAUGUUGUGUUGGUUACUGGAAGCGAUCUUGGUGACGGGUGGCGCCGGUGGACGGUCGGCGAAGAGAGCGCCGUUGAGGACGAGGGCUUUGUGGGCGAUAGAACGGUCGGCGAUGAAGACGGCAGGGCGGGAGCCGAUGGGGAGGGUGACGAUGGGACCGUAUUUGGAGACGAAGGUGCGGAGAAGUGAUUCCAUUUGAAGGGGGGACUUUCGAAGCCAUUGGAGAUUUGUGAGGAUGGGGAUUGAAGGAGGGCCUGGUGGGAGUUUUUUGGAGCUUCGGAAAUGGGAGAAAAUGGAGUUUAGAAGAGAGCAGAUACAGAUAGAGAUUAUGAGGAUGAACCACACCUCCAUUAUUUCUUUCCUUUCUUUCCUGCUUCUUCUUCUUCUGUUCCUUUUAUCCUUUUUCAUCCAUUAUAUAUAUAUAUAUAUAUAUAUAUAUAUAUAUAUUAUAUGGGUAGCCCCCACGUUUCUUGUUCGAUAAGAGAGAGUUGUUUUUCAUUAGUAAUUUAUGGGGGAAAAUGUCAAUUACAUGAACAAAUCAAAACUUCAUCAUAAACAAAUAUUAUUUGAAAUCUUAGAUUGAAGAUUAUUUUGACAUUAAUUUUGGGGAAAUAAAUAUGGACUCGUAGACAUACUAAGUAGUGGUGAUGUGUGUGAAUCUAGGCAAAGUAUGUAGCUGCUUGUUAAAUAGAACAAUUUGGGCAUAAAUGGAUGAAACCCACAAACAUAUCAUCACUCAAUCAUUUAAAACACAGCCUUGUUUAUAAGAUUAACAGUUCAAAUCAUAAACCAAACAAAGGUGCAGAGUAGAUUAAAUGUAUUUGAAUUCAACGAUCAUGGAGGAUCCCUUUUGUAGAAAUCUAGAAAUGGAGUUUAUAGAAUGGAAUAAAGUAUUUGAAUAAAAUUAAUGUGGAUGAACAAAAAAACAAAAAGCAUGUAAGUGCUUCCGUCACUCAUGGUUGUCUUUCUCUUAAAUACGGAAUUUUUCAUUUUGCUUGGUGCCUAAUACCAUCGUUAUCACUACAUAUCAAUUUUAUUUCACUUUCGUUUCCCGACUCAAUUCUUGGAAUCAUCCUCAUUCCUCCCUCGUGUUCAUACUUAGCUAUUUCUUUGUAUAAUUUAUGUUUAUUUUGUUUCACAUUCUUCCAAAAACAAAUACAAUACAUUAUUAUAUUUAAACCGAGUGUCUUUAAUAAAUAUGAAUGUGUUUGGGUAGGCCAAAGUUUUUUAUAUUAACAUGUGUACUUACCUUUAAAAUUGGAGUCUUAGGAUAUGUUUGACCCAAGUAUUUUGGGAGUAUGAGUAGAGUAUGAUGGAGUUAUGAAACUCUAUUCUUUAUUUCACUCAAAGAUUGAGUAUAGUUCUCACGUUACGUAUUGGCUCACGAUGUAUUGGGUCUUGAACUCACGUUUUCUUCGACAACAGGAAAGCUAGGUGAUUCGUUUUCAAAUUUAAUCUUUACUUUCCCAUUAGGAUUUUCAAUGAUAUAAGAAACUUCUUUUUCUUUCUUUCGAGAGAUGAAAGCAUUAUCUAAAAUCUAGUGGGGAUUUCUAGUAACUUCAUGCCAAGAAAGGAGUUUAGGAAUACUAACAGGAGAUUUAUUUAGAUUUGUUUCUAUCAACAUGGUUUUUCCUUUAGUAGAAUACAAUAAAGCUUUUGGAUAGACGAUAGUAGUCAAAACUUUGUAAGUGUUCAUUUUUAACACCUUCCUCAAGACUCAAACCUUGUUAGUGAUAUUUAAACUCAAAGUUUUGAGAAUAUGUGGGUCAUCAAGAAACACCAUAAAGUUUGGAAAACAAUUAAAAUACAUAAGAGCCAUUGGCCGAAUUUGAUUAAAUUAUUCCUAACAAAGAAUUUAAAAAAUCGUUAUGACUUUUAUCACCUAAAAUUACCAAGACUGGUGUAUUCCGUCCAGAUCUAAAAUCUCUUGGAUAGCUACAUCUAGGGCAAGGGACUGCCUAACAAAUUCAUAAUUUGGACAUAAUCCCAUAAGAACCUUAAUAAGACGAAGAUGAACUUUAUUUAUUUUGGCUUGAUCAAGUUGAGUCUAUAUAGGUUGAAGAUAUUUAUUAACAAAUUGACAAGGGUACUAUGCAAUGGAUAGUAAUGAGCUAAACAAUCAAUUUAAAGUGUGUAGACAAAAAGUUUCAUCAUUUUUUAGCAUCCUCAAAGGCAUCAAAGUAUGCAUGAAUAGCAGGGAUAUAUGUGUUACCAGGCCAGAUGAUAAUCAGGUGAUUUUUACUAUCCCAUUCUUCGAGGCAUUCGAUAAAUUUACUAUCAUCUUCUUUGUUUAGUUGUUUUCAUCUCCAUUGUUUAGAUGUUUUGGUUUAAUGAUGUCUUUAAUAACAAUGUGCCACAAUUUCCUACCAAUUAAAAAACUCUUCAUUUGAUUAGUUCAAGUAAGGUAAUUCGUCAUGUCAAAUAUUGUACUAAUGAGUCGAAUAACAUGGUCUUUCUCUAUUAAAGCAUAUCUCAUGGUAGAGAAGUGGAUCUCAAAGCAAAUCUCGAGAUAGAUGAGAUCGAUACAAAGCAAAUAUUGAGGCAAAUAAGAACAAGACGAAUCGGAUUGAGAACAAAGUCUGUGUUUCAAGGAGAAUGUCAGGAUAGAAAAGACUGAGACAAAGCAGAACUAAAGUUCACAAGAUGAGCAAAUUCACGGAGCGAAUCUCGGUUGCAAGAUCCGAAAGCAAGGUGCCACUAUAGCAAAGCAUAUCUGAGCGAGUGAAGUCGAAGGAGAUCGAAUUUCAGUUGCAUGAUUGUGGGGCAAGGUGAUGCUGAAGCGGAGUUGAUCUGGGCAAGUCUGAAUCUGAGAGCAAAUUCUCAAAGCUAGUAAAUGGAAGUUCAAGAGUCAUCAAUGUGAUCUAGUACAAAUCUUAAUGGAAAGGGUGAUCAGUGGGCAGUCGGACUUGAAGAAGAUGGAGGAGUGGCAGCUAGACUAGAUCAGGACUUAAGCUCUUAUAUCAUGUGGGAAAUAUUUUAUUUGAUUUAAUAUUCUAUGGUUUACGUGGACAAACCUAUAGAAGUAAAUAAGGCAAAUGAUGUAAUUACUCAUAAUUUGUAUUAAUUACAUUUAUAAUCAUUUUUAAAAUUGUUUUAUUUUAGUUUUUCAAUAAUAAAAUGAUGUUUCCUACAAUUUUAAAGAAACUAAAUAAAUAGUUUUGUCUACCCUUAGUUGGAAAACAAAGAACUAGUAUUGGUCAAUGGUCAAACUAAGCCAGGUAGAUAAUAACUAAAAAGAAAACCUUGGGAUAAAAUUAUAUAAUAUAUCAUUAGUUGAAUUCUUCCGGAUCCAUUUAGACCAACUUCAAGCUUCUCCUUAAUUAUUUUUGUAAAAUUUUAAAACAUUUUAAAGUUAAAGUAACAAGUAAUUUCAUCUCCUCCUCCAUAAUCUUCUUUCCUGAUCCGACCUUUUUAACUAAAUUCACUAAAUUCAAGUAAAGUUAUACAUUCUUUUGAUGUGUUUAUAAACAUUUUUCAUCAUCUUUAUAUAAUAUAACGAUAUUAUAGUUUUAAUGCCCCUCAGAUUAAAGAAAAAACUUUCUUUCAAGCUUUAAUUUUCUAUCUUUAUACAGUAACAUUUUUUUCAAUUCAAGGAUAGAUUGUGUUGUGAAGGGUGAACUAAAAAACGCUACUAAUCCAUUCUUUUCUUUUCUUCCAGACAAUUACUUUUGAAAAAAUGAUUGAAACAGAUAAAAAGUUUUCAUAAUCGAGUAAUGAGAAAUGAACAAAGUUUUCUUCCCAUUAUGCAUCAAAUUAAAGCUCUCUCGUCUGAUUGGGACAUUGAGGCCAAGGGUCUUCGGCUCCAGAGAAGGGAUUCUUCCAGUAAGAUUUGACUUUUAAUCUUUCGAGUUGCAUAUUUUGUGGGCAGAGAUUACGUUGAUCAAGAUAUUUGGGUAAAAGUGCAGCAAGAAAUCAGCAAGACUCUAGUUUUGGUUCUGAUUAGUUUAGAACCUGACGUCCAAAGCAGUCGAUCAUCUCCCAAACAAAGAAAAAUGAAAGCCUUUUGGCGUUUCGUCAAGCUUUUAGGUGAACUCAACUUAAAGGAGAUAGGAAAGAAGCUGAUUUUGAAGAGCGGUCUUCAAAGCAAGCUCUUUUUCAAUAGAAAAUAUUUUCAUUCUUUUCAUACACAUUCCUUCUGUGAGAAACGAGUUGUGUUGUGAAUUCUGACUUUUUGUGUAGUGAUUUCAUAAGGUCAUAAAUUAAAAGAAACACAUUAAUAGAGAACAGUUCGUGAAACAAAAUCUUUAAAUAGGUUUGAACCUACGCAAACAAGGUAAUCCAACUUUCCAACUGUUCAAAUCAUACUAAAUUUCAUAAUAAAUAGGUUAACUUAGAUUAUCGCUGUUAACAUUAUCGUUAUCAGAAAUUGGAAAUAGUAGAGUGUCAAUAGCUCAGCUCCACAUAGAUCGGUUUCAUACCGUGUAGUUGGUCCAAGCAUGGAUGGAUUUUGCAGAGUAGAGUCUUCUGAGAACUGAAGUCUUCAAGAGAUUUAGAGAGAUAACAGGCAUGAAUUAGAAACUACAAAAGUUUCAACCCACCAGUUACAUCAUCAACCACUUCAACAGGACCUGCAAUUUGGGAAGUAAGAAAUGUAUACUAUUAUAUUCAUACGAACCAAAUUAGUUCAUAAUAAUUUUAUUUUAUUUUUUAUUUUUCUAUUUCCCUUAUGAAAACAAGUUUCAUGGAGAAAGAAUGAAAAAGAAUUUGUACAAGGAGAUACAAAAGAAACCAGCCCACAAAACCACUCUUUUAAAGGAAGGGGGUUCCAACUAAGAAAAAUGUUGUCUAUAGGAUAGUUAUAAAAGUUCUUCAAAACCGAAGUCCAAAGAGACGUACCAAAGACCAAAUGCCACCCCCUCCCUCUACUCCUAAACCACCCUAGCAUUCCUCUCACCCCAAAUAUUCCAAAUAACCGUGUACACCUCAGCAUGCCAUAAAAAGCCUCCCUUAUCAGUGAAGGGCAGAUGGAGAAGGAAUUCCUCGAUCGUCACUCUAACACACCUCAAGUCGACAAAGCUAACACCCAACACCUGAAGAAAGGAGCACCACAUGGCUCUUGCAAAUUGGCAAUCUCAAGAAAGGUGAUUUAGAUCUUACUCUGCCAUCCAACACAGCAUAUAACAGAAAGGCCCGACAAGCGAAGUCCUCCUCCUAACAAGAAGCCUAUCAACACUGUUAACCCAACCAAGCAAGACUUGCAAGAUAAAAAACAUAACUUUCUUAGGAACCUUAGUCCACCACACCAUAUCAAAGACCGACUCCUUAGGAGAGUAGGAUCCAACAACAAAAAAACAAUGAUUUACAGGCAAAACCCCAAAUAGAAUUAGGAUUCCAAACACAAGCAUCUUUCCUCCCCUCUCAAACAGUGCACCCCUCGAGUAAGGAAAGAAGAGAGGUCACCUUUGUCAUUUCUCUAUUGGUCAAGUUACGACGAAACCCAAAAGAGAAAGACACAGAAUUCUCAGAUCUCACCAAAACAUUCAAGAUAGAACAGUUUUCGAACGAGGAAAGAUAUACCGAUGUGAAAAAACAGUACAAAGGGAAUUCUCACCUACCCAUCUCAUCCUCCCAGAAAAAUGUCCUUACCAUCCCCCACAAAACAAGAAACAAACCGAUAAAAAGUAGGAAGCUCGAACGAAAUAUCGUUCCAAGGAUUUUGAAGAGUGUCUUUGACGUCUCUCAUAGUCCACUCAAAAGGAUGGGAACCAUGCUUGCUCAAAAUGAUCUUAUGCCAAAGAGAACCACGCUCAAGAUGGAAGCGCCAAAGCCACUUUGCCAUCAUACCUCUGUUACGAAUUCUAAGAUUACCAAUCUCUAAUCCCCCUUGACUCACAGAGCGCUGCACCACCUCCCAACUAACCAAAUGGGAGUUGUGACCCUCGUCCACCCACUCCCACAGAAAGUCUCUCAUGUAUUUUUCAAUACUCUUACACACAUGACACUUGACACCAUACUAGAGGCCAUAAACAAAGAAAGAUAAUACACCAGAAUUCCACUCAACAUCGAUUUAAUCAAAGUAAGUCUACCAACUUUAGAAAAGGAUCCUUUCUUCCAUGUCGCCAAUCUCUUAUGAAUUUUCCCACAAACAGGAUUCCAAAAAGACACAGCUCUUGUCUUAACCCCCAACGAGAGACCAAGGUAGCAAGAAGGGAAAGAGUCAAUCUCAGAAUCAAACGCUUCCACCCAUCUUAGCAACUUGACCUAAUCAGAAUUAAUACCAUAGAUAGUGCACUUGUUUCUAUUGAUUUCCAGGCCCGACAUCUCUUCAAAGAAUUCGACUAUAUGAUUGAGGGUGUGGAAAGAAUUCGACCAUAUCAUCAGCAAACUGAAGGUGUGAUAAGGCCACUUCAUCUCUACCAAUCUUAAAAAGCUCAAUAAUGUUGCCAUCAACACCUUUACUUAUCAACCGACUUCCACAACCAGUAAGAACAAAAACAGAGACAAGAUCACCAUGUCUAAGACCCCUGGAAGCUUGAAUCGCCCCUUUUGGUACUCCACUGAUGAGAAUAUAAUAAACAUUUCUAACACACCCCCACAUCCACAUUCUCCAUUUAUUCCCAAAGUCUUUCUUCAUCAUUACUCUAUCCAGAAAGUCCCAAAAUUCUGAGUCCACAUGGUCGAACGCUUUCUCAAAGUCAAGCUUUAACAUAACACCCUCCAAAUUCUUUGACCUAUACUCCUCAAUAGCUUCAUUAGCAAUAAAGGCUUGGUCUAGAAUCUGUCUUCCAGAAAAAAAGGCUCCCUAUGUUUCAGAAUUUGUCAAUGGCAGUGUUGGUGAUAUAUAAUUAAAUUUGCCUUCAACCACCAGCUUAAGCUUUUGGAUGAAUUGGUUGUUUAAUAUGGUAUCAGAGCAGGUGGUCCAGGGAGGUCCUGUGUUCAAGCCCCUGCAUUGUCGUUUCCUCCCCAAUUAAAAUCAAUUUCCACUUGUUGGGCCUUUCAAAUAUUUCAAAUCCAAAAGUGAGGUAAAAUUGAUUCCACUUGUUGGGCCUUUCAGAUAUUUCAAGCCCACAAGUGAGGGGGAGUGUUGGUGAUAUAUAAUUAAAUUUGCCUUCAACCACCAGCUUAAGCUUUUGGAUGAAUUGGUUGUUUAAUAGGCAGCACUUUCCUUAAACAAUUGGCAAAAGCCUUGGCCAAAAUCUUAUAAAUACUAGUAAUGAGGUUGAUAGGUAGAAACUCCUUUCACCCUAUUUGCAUUAUCCUUUUUAGGAAUCAAACAAACAAAGCUUUCGACCACCAAUCUGUUCAAGAUACCUCUUUCAAAAAAUUCCUUAAGAACUCCCUCCAAGUCACCUUUGAUGAUCCCAAUUCUCCGGAAAGAAAGCUAUAGAAAACCCCUCAGCACUAGGAGCCUUGUUGCCAUCACAACUGAAAAACAUUCCUGAUCUCUUCAAUCGUAAAAGGAGCGACUAACUCCUCAUCCUCCCUAGGGAAAAUAGGGCUCCAGUCAAUACCAAAUGGCUUCUCCAACACCGCAGGGCUAUAGAGGUUAUAGAAAAACUUCCCGCACAAUUUCCUCCCUAUCUCUAGUACAGACCCCAUUUUCCAAACACAAAAGAUCUAUAUGAUCCACUUGGACCUCACAUAUAUAUUUUGGCAGCCCACUUUUAAUGUUAUUUCCUUUGCACAGCACAGAGUUCUUAAGCUGGCACAAAGAAAUAUUGUCCUCUUCAUCCCGGCCCAACCUCAUUUCCACCGGCCCAUCACACAUCACACCCUUCCCACCUUCCAGCAUAUUCCAUAGGCUUAACCUUACAAUUCUCAAGCCCACUGUGGGCUUUUUUCUCCCCCGGCUCAUCACACUUCGUGGAAUACAAACAGUUCCCGUGACUUCCCUUAUCCUUCCUCUUCUAACCCAAAGACAGACUAAAAGACCAAUCGACUGCUAGUUUUGUAUCUCACCAGAAAGGAAAAUUCUUGGUGGUUAACAAUGCACCCCAUCUGAAUAUAACCAUCUUCUUUGCCAUUUUCCCUAAAACUCACUUCCUUAAGCCAGUUGCACGCCAGCAAAUACACUUCCUUAUUGGCAAGGCCACCACACUAGGAUGCAAGGGAAUCAAGAACUCCUUAGUUCUCAAGAAAGGAGGGACGUCCAGCGCCAUGACCCACCCUCCCCUGAAUACCUACUUUCUCUUCUCUUCAAUCACACGAAAAUUCCACUGUCGAAACGUAAAAUCUUGGCUUUGAAACAACGUCCCAAUCCAUAUCAGUUCCUUCACCUCUGAACCUGAGUUGCAAAACCCCACUGCCAAAUUUGCCCAAAAGAUCUUGAAGCCACAACAAAUAUAUGGGGCAUUUCAAAAAGUUGCUUCAAGACUCCCCAAUUCUGUCAAGGCCUUGAAUUUCUUGAUAGUAAUCAUAGUCUGGCAUUCAAAUGCAAAGUCCAUCUUAUCUCUUUCCCCUGUUACCACUUUGACCUCUUGCGCAUCUCUCUGCAAGUUUUGUGUAUGGUUGCCCUCCAUUCAUUUUGUUGAUCUACACAUUGGCAACUGGCACCUGGGAGCCAUCUUUUUCUUUCCAAGAUGAGUCCUUUGAUUUUUGGAUUUCAUUACUAGACUUCUGAGAACCUAUAUUUGAGCCUGAAAGAUACACCGAGAUUUCUGUGCUAAUGAGUACUAAUCACUACCUCUACUUCCUUCCAGGAUGAAUAUCCUUAUUUUCCUUCCUUUAAAAGAUUCAAGGGAUAGAAUAGCAAAUCUUCCUAUACUGUUCUCCAGCAUCUGAAAAAAGAGAAUGGCAAAGACCAAACUUCUUCUUUGCUAAAAACCAGUGGACCAACUGGCAUCCACGGCUGCCUUCAAAUAGCCCCUUACCCAAGCUGCAGUUCCCCGAUCCGACUCCAGCUUACCAAAUUUUCUCCAUUCCUUUCCUCAAUAUAAAUCUUCCUAUCAAUCCCUACAAACUCCUUUCUACCUAUCGUGAAUUUUUCCAUCUCAAAACAAUCACAUUUUGAGAGAAAAGUUUGUAUAACUUAUCUUUCAACUAGUUUGUAAUAAUUUUAUUUAGCACCACACCAUAUGAAAUUGAUACAUAGAUCCACCAGUUGAGCUAGCUAACCAAAAAUCGAGUCGAACAAAAGAGUGAAAAAUGUAGGAAAUUUGCCAAGUUAGUAGAACAGAGAUAGAAACCCAUGGCAAGGUCUUAAAAGUAGUCGAAGUCAACAUUUUAUCUCAAAAUACGUUUGAGUGAGCAUUCUUCCCAUUUGAGGAAUUUUGCUACAAAAGGAAUGCUUAAAUUAAAUGCCCAUGGCAGCAAUGAACUCUUUAAUUUUUAAAAGUUGCACGGAAAAAUCUACUUACCAAGAAUUGCCAUCACCGUUCUCGAAUCUGAAAAAACAAUAAAGUGAAAAUCAGUGAAAUUGAUAAAGUUUCUAUGAAUAAAUCGAUCUACUUAAGUGAAUUUCAUAUAAGCUUACUGGGUGCAAUCUGAGUUCUUCCGGCAUCAAUAGUAAUAUGAGUUGGUAGCUUCAAUGAUUUUGCCCUCUCCUGAUGUACAAUAAAGUUCAGAAAGAAUGAAAGAAAUUACUCAAAGGCCUCAAAGAAUAGAUGAGACAGAAAAGAGCAAGUUGCAAAUUAUCCAAAAUCAACUGGGAAGAAAAGGAAUAAAGAUUAUUUAAGAAGACCAUCACCAAUUGUAUAAUAUGCUCUACGAAAUUUUCUGGCACUGUGGUAAAGUUGGUAAGAGAAAUAAGAUUACUGAAACGAAAAGAGGCUGCACCAUAUUAACAAUAAUGAAGGGUGUUAUACCAGGGUGCUGCUAAAAGGAACAGAUGUCUUGAUUAAUAGUUCGGCUGUUUUGAAGAACAAUAGUCAACUAGUUCAGUCAAAUAAAACAAAUAGUCGGUUGGGAGAAAAAAUUGGUUUCAGCAAGAAAUAACCUAGAUCAGCUUCUUUGGGAAUGUACAUUUGCAAGAUCUGUCAAUGGCGGUUUCUUGCAAGAAUUUGGUUUUUUGACUGCUUGUUACAGGGAUGUUCAGUUGAUGAUUGGGGAGUUCCUCCUCCAUCCGCCUUUCAAAGAGAAAGGUUGAUUUCUUGGUCUAUGGGGGGAGAGGAACAAUAAAGCAUUCAAUGGUGUGGAGAGGCACCCUCGCAAGAUUUGGUCUUUGAUGAAGUUUAAUGCUUUUUUCUUUCGGCUUCGGUUUUGAAAGCUUUUUGUAAUUAUUUCCUAGGCAAUAUCUUAACUAGUUGGAAACCCUUCCUUCAGUUGAAGCUUUUUGUAGACUUGGUUUUUUUGUGCACUUGUAUUCUUUCAUUUUAUUUCUCAACAAAGGAAAAGAAAAAAGGGCAGGUCAAUUGCUUAAAGAUAUAUUCAAACAUACAACAGAAUAGGAAACUAGCAAACAUCAACUAAAUGCAGAUGCGAUAUUAUUUUGACAUACACAAAAAAAAUAGCUAGAUAGCAUAAAGUCAGAGUGGAGAAAAAAAUAUCAGAGUGGAAUUGUUACUUGCAAAACUAGCAUGUCUUCCUCACUUUCUAUCUUCAGAACCACCUUGGGUUGCGCACACAUCUCCCACCUACAUGUAAAUAAAAUCAAACAACUGUACAUAGAACGAAGUAUACAAAAUAUCCCCAAUAUUAAUAUAGGGAGGACAUUUUUGUUGAUACAUACCUGUUCAAGGCUUUUGGUGCACGAUAAUGGAGCUUCUUAUAGAGACCCAAAGUUGCAUGACUAAUAAAAGCAAGUAAAGUAGAUUAAGAACGAUUCCAAAUCCAAUUUACAAUAGUGGGAAACUGGGAAUUCUAUGCAAAGGUUUUAGAAAUUUGGAUCACUAGAAUCAAUUCUCAGAAUUUAACUAUUAAACAAGUAAUAAGGCGGUACCUAAAAUUAUAUGAAAUUUCGGUCUCUCAAGUAGUAGUAACAUAAAAUAUUUGUGUAGGAUCGGUAAUUCUUUCAGUUACUAUCAGCCACAAAGUUAGCUGAUAAUUGCAAUAAUGUAAUAUGGGUUUUCUCAGACGGAACAAAUGUUUGGUUUUGACUCAUAGCAUGAGCCAAACUAUGUAAUAUUAAAAACUAUAUUUCCGAGCAUUACUAGAAUAUGGAUUUUGUAUUCUUCAAAAGUUUCAUGUUGCUGAUCCCGAUAAGAACUUUUAUACGUUUUUUUUUUUUUUUUUUCUAUCAUACAACCAAGUAAUUUACUUUAUUAGGGCCGUCCUGUAGUCCAGUUGGAAUGAGAGGAAUCAUCAUAUUUUUGCCAACAAGGAUAGGGAUUUCAAUAGUCUUUCUUAUUUGCCCCUUACUUUGUCAUAUUGUUUGAAUGUAGUUUUGAAGGAACAAGCAAUCCUAAGCUUACACUACUUAUGCAUGGCCAACAGUUAUGCACAUAAUAUUGAGUUUCAUGAAAAUCCACCAUGACGAUUGAAAGGUAUUUGUAGACCUUAAUGCUGGAGUUCAACAUCUGUUAAAUAAGGAGAUGAUCAUGGACUUAUAAAGGAGGACAACUAUCACUAAUAGAAUGAGGAUUUUUUAGGUGAAACCAAAAACAAAGUCAGAGAAUAUACGUCCAAGGUGAACAACAUCAUAACAUGGUGGAGAGAUUUGGAGGUUGGUUGUCCCUAACACUUAAUAUGAAAGGAUAGGAAACAAUAAAAACAAAAAGGCCAUAGAUUGUAUGCCUAAUUUUCACCUAAAAUUUUUUGAACUGUCAGUUUCUGUCAUAAACAGAGGAUUACAUGAUAAUGAACAAGAAAUAUAUCUGAGAAUAUAGUACCCUUCAUCUGAACAUUUAACUAUAAUUUACAUAUUAAAAGAAAAAGAAAAAAACUUAAUACUAUAUUCCUUAUGACUUCUAUCUAUUAUUUAACUAUCACCAACAAAGCAAAGAAUCCAGACAAUAAAUCUCCAAAACAGAUAACGAGAAAGCAGUUGAGAGAUCCACCAAACCUGAACACCUAGAUAAUGAAGAAUGAGAGAAUCUUCCUUAUAAAAUAAACUAAUCUUUUUAUAUAUAUAUCCAUUAGUGUCCAAACCAGCUUACGAACACCUCGAACUAAUCUCACAGGACAACCCAUCUAACCCUACAACAUUUGAGUGUCAAGGAAACUCAUGAAAAUUAAUUCUUAAGUAAGUGGCCACUAUUAGAUUGAACCCACUAUUAGGUGGCCACCUAGAUAAUGCACUCUCUUCUUCACCUUUCUCAUUUUCUGACCUACACUGCUUUAAAAAUUACUUCCCAUACUUUAUCCAAAAACUUUCUAUCACUUUUCUAGUCUCAUUUGCAAUAUAAAUGCAAGAUUUUGUCCGAGUUUGCUGAUCUUCUGAAAUUAUAUUUACAGGGAUUUUCCUAAUUCUUUCCAUUAGCUCUUUUGCUGCAGUUUUGUAGAUUGUAUUCAUCAACAACUUUCUUAAUUUUGACAGUGCAAUAUUUCAAAAGAAUAGUAGCACUAUUAUCUUCCAAAAUUCUGCAUUGUGAUAACUUUUACUUGAACCCUAUCAUCAUCCUAAAUGUCUCAUGUUAUUAUAGUCGUUCAUAAACUUUUGUUAAAUUUAUUAUGGUCAUUGUGAGUAUUCUACUAUAUCAGGUGAGCAGUGGAUUGUUAACCUAAACUUCUAAGCACUCCAUAUGUCCAAUUCUUGGGAGGACAAGGACGACGAUGCUAACGAAAACAACUCCAGCUUUCACACUACACGAGCAGCAAUAAAAUUUAAAUUUUCUUUCAUUGUUAGCAAUUAGCAUUUAAAAUAGCAAGUAAUGAAAGAGCAACAAAAAGGUGUUAAUAAAAUACCUGCAUUGGGCUGCGAUUUUUCCUUUUCCCAUUUUCAAAUCAUUUCUCACAACUAAAACCUGUAGAGACACGGUUAAAAGUUGAUACUAUUUGUUAGAAAAAAAGAUCAUUAAAGUUAUUGAGAAUGAUUUUCUAAUAGAUAGCACGAUAGAAACAGAGAUAGACAGAGACACUCAGAAGCAUACCAUCUUGAAGUCAUCCAGAAUGUCAGCCAAAUUUUCGACCUCCAGUGGCUCUUUAGUCUUAUCCUUCUUCUUCCCAUUUCUGCUUGAUUCAUUGCUUUUGGCUAAUUUAGCUUUGACAAAGACCCGAGGAGGAUACUUUGAACCAAUAUAGUAUCCCAAAACAAGGCAGCCGGCCCCAACUACAAUGGCACUCAACCAUGCCAGAUCCAUCCAAUUAUAGUCUAUAAAAUGCACUUCUCCACUACUGAAGUCCAGCAAGAAUAAUCCUGGACCAGAUACCAAAUUCUAAUUCUAGCAAUAGAACUCCUACAUAGAACAUGAAAAGCUCAAAAUUAAAACUCGCAAACAGUAAAUACAAAGAGAAAAGACCAAUUGAAAGAAACAAAGAUAAAGAUAAAAAUGAAUGAAAUAGCAGCUAUUUACUCAAAUUCAGGAUUAUGAAAAACACAAAAAAAAAAAAAAAAAAAAAAAACUAUUUCUUAUGCUUUUCAGAAAACGCUAAAAACGUUUUGAAUUGCAUUUACCACCGUUUGGAACUACGAUUUUAAAUCAGAAUGAACUUCAAAUCAUUUAUGGGGAUUUGAAUGAAUAGAAACAUAGAAGUUAGUAAUCAAAAUGAUUUGAAAUCUUGUUUUGAUCCAAACAUUGUCCGACUAAAAUAUGUCGGAAUAAUAGAAAUUGCAAUGAUUCCAAAAUUUGGUCGAAACAGAGAACAGCUAAAGAAAGAGAAUGGAAAAUAGAACUUUGAUGGGGACGAUAGACCUCGAGAUAGUAGCAUUUCGGCGUGAGAUCGCAGUAGAGAGUGAGAGAAGAGAAGGGGAGAGAAACUGAGUGCAGGGGCGUGCUGAGAAUCGGCAAUGGCAACGGUGAAGAUGAAUAGAGAAUAAAGAAAUCAAAGAAAGAGAGAAAUAGGCGUGGGUGUGGCUGCCGCAGGGAGUGAGGGAGAGAAGCGUUGGGUUUAUGGGGUGGGUGGCGAUCUGCGGCUGCGACACAGAUGGGAGAUGAAGGAAAAAGAGGAGAUGGGGGUGGAGAAAUCUCUUUCUUUUUUUGGAUCAAUCUUUCUUUUCAAAUUUUAAAAAACUCUUUCAAGUGUGCAAGUGAGGUUUUUUUUGCUACUUUUAUUGAAAAUUUUAAAAUAAUGGAAGAUAUCAAAUGACCAAAAUAUCCUUGUUAUUCAAAACGUUACAUCUUCUCCGAAAACACUAAACUCCAAACAUUUAGUUUCGUGUGGAGCAAUCGAAGACCAUGUCAAGUAUAAAAUAUAAGUGAACAAUUGGGCAACUUCACAUGUUUAUGAAAACUGUCUUUUGGCACUUCUUGGACAUGAUGUUGGUAUUCUACUUUAUCAAACUUGCGAUAAUGGGUCAGGGGAGGAGGCAAUUGCUACGUCUCAGGUCUAGGAUUCAUACCAAGAAGUUACUCAACUUAGAAUUGAUCCAAGCUAAGGACGCUGAACUUUGGAGUUCCUAUGAUUGAAUAACUAAAAAGGAAAGUGCACUUUGUUGGUAUAGAUAGUAACUUUUAAUUUUUUAAGUCUUUCUUAACCUUACUUUUAUGUCCUCGAGAUCUAUCUCAUUUAGAUGUGAUACCGGUUCAUUCAUGUCCCCCUCCUAAACUUGGGACGUUUCAACAACACAUGGAUUGGACGAUGUUGGACCUGAUUAACGACUGAGAGGACUUCCUCAGUUACGCCUGAAGUGAGUUGGUAUGAACCAAGACCUUCGCUAGGUUGAAAUGGGCACUUCAUAGAAAGAGGCCUUGCACAAGAAGAAACCUGCAAAUAACAUGUCCCCAGAGUCGUAUAGCCUCUACGAAUUUCCCUUCACCUUUUAGGUUUGUGAUUAUAUGCUCACUGUGUUUUAUUGAUUUCAUUAAGUAUAUGCUUGUGUUAACAGUAUCAUUGUAUUUGUAGGUCUGGGCCUAUAAGACAACGUUGUCCAUCUGUGAGUAGGUUGCCCAUAGGGAGUCAUCAUCUGCGAUACCACGGAUCAUGUGAUGGAGUUAACAAACUCACCUAGGUUGAAGGUAAUAAUUGAGUCCCAUAUUUUUGAGUUGCAAAUGGUACAUUACAAUUCAUUUUCUUCUUCCAAAUUCACUAUAGUAUUCUAAGGUUUUGUCUCUUAAUUAGCACCAGUUAUGUUCAAAUUUCAAGCCUGGAUUCAUUAGUUUUAUAAAAUCUGUGAAGGUUAGGUUGUGAUUGGAGUUAGAAUUGAGAAGUCAUCGAAGGUGUGACAUUAUUAUUGAAAAGGAGAAAAGACAAGCUAAGGUGGUUAAGAUGUUUUUAAUGUUAGGUUGACAAAAGGAAAAUUUUGGCUAACUCCACGUGUUGCUGAAAAGAGCAUGGUAUUGAAAAACGAAAGGUUAGACGCAACGGAAUUAACACAAAUUCUUUUUUCUAAAUUCUAAAGUAUAAAUAGACCUUACAUAAAUAAUUAGAUUACGAAUAAACAUACAUCUUGCUCAUACUUUCCAAAACGUUUUUUACUUUUUAGGUAGGAAGUCAUGAUUUGGAAGCCUGAUUCGCCACCGUCUGUCUGCUGGUGGAUUUUGUCUUUUCUAUCGUAGGUGUCUUUUUGUUUGAAGCUAGGUACAUUUGGUCUUUAUUUGUGUCAGACUUAAGUUGGAAUCGGUUGGAGUUGGAGUCCGUCUCCAUGUAUAUAUAAGUUUUGUAAAUGUAUGUAUAAAACUUAUGUCAAAGUUUGUUAAAUAAGUGAGUUGCAUUGCAAUUUUGUUUAUUAGUUGUGUAAUUGGAUUCCGCUAGCAUUUUAUUUAAAGGUUAGGUGUUAAGAGUCAACUGGUGUCGUUUAGAGGGGGAGCGACAUUGAUUGAUUUCAUGUCGUCUUAAAGAUCGAGAAUAGGUGAUCCGAGAGAGGUGUGACAGUUGGAAUGGUUUGAAUGUCAUCGUUCUUCAUCCUCUACUACCAUCCACUUUUAAUUGAAAGAAACUUGGUGUAGUGGACAUCUCAUGUUAUCCUAUUGAGCAACUAAGAGCUAACCCCAAGGUAUAGAUUAUUACUUUCAUCUCUCUAGGUAUUGAACUUACACGAUACGAAGAAACACUUUUAGAGCUAAUAAUUAAUUGUAUAACAACAUUUUAAAUGAAUUGCAGAUGUAGCGAAAUUUGUUAGUGAUAAACUCCAUUAUUAAUAGACUCCUAUUAGGGACGAAAUCUUUAUUACCAAUAGACUUCUAUUAGUAGUAUGACCUAUAUAAUCUAAAUUAUGUUAUAUAUACAAAUUCUUUUGCAAAGUGCGAUAUCUAUUAAUACUUUGAAUUUGAGUGCAAUAUUUGCAAUUGCUCCUAAUGGUCACACCAGAACGGAAGGUUUAAAUAAAUGUAUUAAUAGGCUUAAAAUGUUGGAAAAACCUCUAGUUUCACACCAUGAACAAACAAAAUAUUAAUAAUAAUAAUAAUCGAAAACUCAAAACAAAAAAAAAAAUGUUGAAAUGAUUUGAACGUAUACAUGGCUUUAGCAUGAGCUCUCACUAAUCACUUAGAUAUUUGACCAUGAGACCUCACUAAUCGCUUAAAUAUUUGAGGUUUGACGCAACACACUCUUGAAAUCUAAAAGUUGCAUCAUCUCUAUAAAUUAUUUAUUGUUUACGAUUUUAAUAAAUUAUUUAUUAUUUACAAUUUUGAUUUGAGAGUUUAGAUGAAUUUACUGUAUAAAUUGCACUUAUGAGUGAUGUAUUUGUAUUCUUUAUAUUCUCUCCGUACAUAGAUUGCACUUACAUAUUUAUAUUCUCUCUUUGUCUAAUUCCCAUGAAUGUAAUGCAACUAACAUACAUGUUAACCAAACAAAACAAAUCUUAAUGUCCAUUAUUCAUUGUUUAAUUUUUUUUUUUUUUUUUAACUUUGAUUGUCGAGUUCUUAACAAAACAAAAACAAUACAGGAAUUGGAGAAAAACCAUGACCUAGAUUAAAGAAAUCCACUCGUACGUGAAUUUUUUUUGACAAACUCUUUGAGAGUGGUUGGAGUCCAUCACAAAAGAAAUCUAAUGAGGGACAUAAAGUUGCAAUUAAUAAUAAUUAGAAAAAACAAACAAUUUUUCUAGAAAAACGAUAUACUGAUUUAAUAGUUCAAUUACAUAGAUCUAAACAAAUUGAUUACACCUCGCAAAUAGAAAUGGUUGUAGAAAAAUAUACCAACACACCAAAAUGCACAAGUAGAAGCCAAGUAUCUAAACAAGGAAAGCCGGGUAUCACAUAGCAUAUAUAUAUAUUCAUAUACAUAUAUGAAUAUAUAUAUAUAUAUGCUAUUCUUACAAUCGAUGUAAUUUAGCGUAUAUGUAUGUAUACUCCUAAUACUAAAACUAAAUAAAAAGCAUUCAAAAUAUAUCAAACUGAGAUCAAAAUUAGGAAGCUAAGAGAAUUGGUCCUCACAUUGUUUUGGCCAAAUAUAUAAGAUUUUGAUAUAUUGGAGCGCAGCAAUUCUUAGGAUGACUUUAAGAAGAAUUUCCCACAUGUUUCCCUUGAUCCUCCUCAGCUAAAACCUUCUCCUUCGUUUUCUGGCUAACAUCUACAGCAGCUUUUGCAACUCGUUGAAAUGUCUGGCUAACCCAGGAAGCCCCGGUUAAGACGUAGCGGUUAGUCAUUAUAGCUGAUCCAGCGUUGCUCACAGCUGCCUUAGUCUUCUCAGACACUUGAAACUUCUCAUCCAUUUCCCUCACUUUCUCAUUCACCACGGUAGUGCCAACACUAAUUUUCUCACUAAGGCCGAUUUUUUGGUCCAGAGAAGCAACUUUGGAUGAGGCUGUUGAAGUCAAUUGGUGCCUUUCGUCAAAAGACUUCGCCUUAUUAAGGGCAUCUUUGCCCAAAGUGAAGCCUUUGGCUAGCAUGCUGCUGACAACAUCCUCUGCCUUUUGCAUUGCAGAUCCAGCAGUAGAAUUAGUAGUAGAGGUUGUGUUGUCUAAAGCCUGGUGAAACAUGUUUAUUCAUUCAUGUUAUGAAUCACAUUAUGAACAAGAUUGAAAAUAUAUUGUCGAGGGUAAGAUUGAAGAAAAUACAGGAGUAGACACGGGUACAGCUACAGGGGCACUGGCAUCAACUGCAGGAAGGUUGUAAUCUGGAGCCGAAGAAAUGCUUACUGGCUGAUCGACAAUUGUAGCUCCCUUAGAGAUGCAAAACCGUUUAAUUAGGCAAGAUAACAAAUGAAACAAGAAGAAGCCUAUAACAUAAAUUUCUUAGCUCUCCGGUUUGAAGAAGAGACUAAUGUAAAUAUUGGAGUAGAAAAAGGAAAAUCGAUAUGAAUGGAAGAUGCCUCUUUCACAUGUGGUAGCAAAGAAAUUAUUUAACAUGAGGGACAGAAAAAGAAGUUUUCCAUUGUUCAGAUGUUUGAGAAUGAAACUGAAAGAAUAAUAUCUAUGAAUCAAGAGUUAUACAUAAAUGUAUGAAAAACUUAUUAAAUCUCACCUUUCUCUGAAGAAUAAAACUGUGUUCUAUUUAAUUUUCAAAACGUAACAUCCCCGUAUAACCACUUUUCAUAACAAAAUAAAUUUACUACUGUUCAGGAAUCAAUUUCUAAUGAAAGUUUAAAUAUAAGCACAUUAGAAUGGAAAAUAAUCAAAUAAAAUCAUUCAGAAGAUCUGGAGAUCAAGAAGGAUAAUCAAAAUAGAAGAAGAAAAGAUAGAGAAUUGUAUCAACCGAGAGUAGAAUCGACGUCUCUGCCCCUUUUGAAUCCUUGAAGGUAACAAAUGCAAGUUGAGAUCGCUCAUUGUCACUAUAAGAACACAGCAUAAAAUAAAUGAAAAUGCCCAAAAAAAAAUUAAAAAAAAAAAAAAAAAAAAAACUCAUCGACAUUAAAAAAAACAGCCAAAAUCAUACUUACUUUCUCAUUUCGACAAAUUCAAUUUCACCGGAAAAGGAAAAGAAGUCUCUCAAAUCUUUCUCUGUCGCGCUUAAGGAGACAUUGGUAACUCUCACCGUCCUCGUCUGUAACCACCAUAAACAACAAAAAAGAAGAAAAAAAAAAAACAAACAAACUUUAACAAUUCAACAAAAAAAAAAACCAAAAUCAAAGCCGAAUUUCAACAGUUUUCGUUUCGGUGUAUCAUAACUUCCUCCUUCAUCGUUCGAAAUUUUACUUCCAGUCUUUUGCCAUUAAGACACCGAAAAAACGCAAUUUCCAUCUCCUCAAUACAGCUCAUAAGAAAUUACGGGAAAGAAGAGUGAAAAUUGGCGAUUGAUUCUUAAAUCAUAAUUGAUAUUGAUAACAAGUAGAACUAAGGCAUCAGAUCAAUAAAAUCGCAAGAAAUUAAACAGAUUGAGAAGACAAUGAACAGAAAAGAAACAAAAAAUUGAACACGUACCGCCAUGAUUCUUCUGUUUGAUUCACCUGAGAGAUUUGCCAAUUCAAAUUCUUAGAGAGAGAGAGAGAAAGAGGAGAAAAGAAGAAGGAAGAAUGCCCUGAGAGUUGUGUUGUGGCUUGGCGGUUGUUUAGGUUCGUAGUAAUACAUAUGGCAAAAUAAAAUAAAAAACUGACUCAUUCCAUUUCUUUAUUUCUUUCCUUUUUCUUUUGAUAUUUCGGAUCAACUUAGACUUAUCUUAAAUAAUCUCACUAAACAACACUAUAAUAUUUAAUGAUAAAAAAAAUUAAUUUAUAAGUGAGUGACUUAAAUUAAAAUUUAAUUUGUUAGUAAGUGAUUUUUUUUCAUUUUAAAAUUUAAAGUUUGGAAUAUGGGUAGGAUUAUGUUAUGUUGAACUAUGCUAUGGUAUUGAGUUUUAGUCAAUAAAAUCACUCAAAUAUUAUAUUAUACUAAAUGAAAAAUGUUAUAUUUUUUUUAAUUUUUUUUAUAUUUGUAUUGUUGCUUAAGCUGAGAGGACAAUCAGACCAUAACCUACCACAUCUGUGUCCGAAUUGAACCUCAACACACAUUCUCGUAAACAUAUAUUCAACGUUAAAAAUUAUUUGUUAUUAUGCUUUGUUAAUUCUCGUUACAAAGCAUAAACAAAUGGAGAAUUGUUUUUCUCUUGAACUUAAAUGGAUAUUCAUCAUCAUUUGGUGGACUUAAUGGUAUUCCGUGGAAGAAAAGCUUGUUUUUCUGUGUGAUCAUCCAUUGCUAUUUCUGCAUGCAUAAUGUUUUUGUUAAAUGAUCGACGUACCAAUCUUGUUCCAUUACACAAUCUAUUGGAUGGAUCCAAAUUUCUCAAAAAAUAUAUAUUAUAAGCAUUUCAUAUCCUUUGAAAGAAAACUGAAAUAUGGUGUAGUACCUUACUAAUUAGACGUUUCCUUUAUCUCAUAGUAUUGCAUCCAAACAUUGCCUUUGCCAUUCACAAAUUAAGUCAGUUUGUUUCUAAACUCUAUCAAUCUCACCUCAACGCUGCUUAUUCUCAGCUUUUGUAUUUUUAAGGAACUCAUGGCCAAUGCGUUUCCCUUCAAGGUACAAGUUCUUUUCAAUUCCACGUGAAUAGGGAUCUUGUUUAGAUACAAGAAAAUAUACCACAUGCUUUGGCAUUUUUCUAGAGGAUUCUACGUGAUAUCGUGGAAAUCCAAGAAACAAAAAACAAUAUCUCGAUCUUUUGUUGAAGUCGAAUAUAGAACCGUUGUAGCUACCACAAGUGAGCUCGUUUGACACACACAGCUCAUUCUUGAUUUACACAUCUCCAACUUUGCUUUAGCUUUGAUAUUUUGUGAGAACACUUCAACCAUCCAUAUUGCAAACAAUCCAGUUUUUUAUGAGCGUACUAAACACAUUGAAUUGGAUUGUCAUUUUAUUCAUGAUCAUAUUCUCAAAAGCAAUGUAAAACCGAUGCCCAUCCAUAUGCAUAUGCAACUAGCUAUUUUAUUUACAAAACCGUUGCCUCUGUCCCCUUCAGAAGUGUUAUUGUCCAAGAUGGAAAUUAUCAUUUUUCUUAGCCCCAUCUUGAGGGGGAGUAUCAAAGUUGUUAUGAAUAACUAGUUUUUGUUAUUCUUCUGCUAGUUAAAAUAAUUAUAAAUAUGAUAUUUUAUCUUUGCUUUUUACCUUCCUGUGAUUGGUUAUAAAUAACCCACUACUACUAGAAAAUUGGGAUUAAGGAUGCUAAAUAUGUGUCAUAAACAGUUUCGUGACACAUAUUGUGCGUCUUUGAAACCCAGGUAAAGAUAGGACAUUCAGUGACGCAACAAAAUAAGUAUAGUUAUUAUUGCAAACCCUAACAUUCAUCAAUUUUCACAAUUAACUAAGUUAAUAGAAAUAAACUGGCAUUGUUGAGGUCCGAAUUGGUUAAUUAUUAUAACAUUUCCCUUAAUGACGACAUGUUUUUUGUGUCAUUGAUUGACUUUUAAUAACAUUUUAUUACUGUCUACAUAUAAACUCUCAUAACACUCUUGUUGUGUAAUUACAUAAUUUUACAUUUCCUGAUGUAAAAAGAAUAUAAUUAAUAUUGUCAUGAGACACGUUUUUCUGUCAUUUCUCAUACAAUUCAAAGAUUCGAGUACCAAUAUAUUUGUAAACUGAACUCAUCAAGUUCCCAUUGAAAUAGGAUCCACACAAGGAAAAGCACUUGCCAUUCGUUGGUUAUUAGGGGCAUCCCGAAAACGUCCCGGUCGAAAUAUGGCUUUCAAAUUCAGUUCCGAAUUAGUGGAUGCUGCCAAAGGGAGUGGCGAUGCCAUACGUAAAAAGGAAGAGACUCAUAGAAUCUAUAUAUUGAUAAUAAAAAAUUAUAUUACAUAUAAAGUGAAAACUAAAGCAUUGCAAUGAAAUACAUUACACAUAUCCUUAACAAUAAGAAUAUAAAAACUAACCUAUCUAUUGCAACAUGUUUCUAUGGUCUACAGAUUCUUUGGAAACAUGCAAAAUCACAGUGAAUGAAUGGUAAGUACAUGCCCAUAUGAAGAUUUCUUGGGAGGCAAUUUUUUUACCUAUACAAAGUGUUGUAACUUUACCCAAAUUAACAAUCACAUGAUUUAUAUAUAUAAUGUUAUAACAAGCACACAAAAAGCUUAUGAACACAUAAAACUCAACGGAAAUCAUAAUAAAAGUAAGCGAAGUUUAUUUAGCUUUCUUCUCCUUUAACAAAAACCACCAAAUCAAUUGAAAAUAAUUUGAAAAUGAAAGAAAGAAAAGGCCACCAAAACGGAAAUAUGUGUUGUAUCACAAUCAUGUAAAUUAUUGCCUCUUUAUCAUUAUUAUUUUCUCAGAAGAGUUCGUGAGAGAAUAAAACUUCAUUUGAUUUACUACAGAACAUCAUCCAAAUUUCAACAACCAGUUAACACAAAUGAUAAAUUGAAACUAGUUUCAUGACAAUUCACCUUUGACAUAUAUAUGCAGAACUUUAAUCUAUGCAUCAUAAACUGAAAAAUUACCUAUUUGAAUGAAUGACGAGAAUAACAAUUAACAACGAUACUUGUAUAGUUUGUAGAAGAAAUUACAUAACCUUUUCUUUCAGUUCCUUUGCCACUCCAUAUUUUCGGUCUCCUCUGCUUUACUCACUCACUCAAACUCUCAGCAUUUCAAACAAGAACUUGGGCUUUAAAAGCCCAAAGUUGGCCUACUUUAGAAAUGGAUGGUACUGCGUGUGCCUAAGGCAGAAGACACCGUCCCCCGUCCUCAACUUCCCGCCUCAAUUGAACCUUCAUCCGUCUUUGUCGUCCCUUCACGCAAGAUUUCCACGCUGCCAUUCCUCUUCAUCAGUCACCCACUACUCGCUCACGACUCAUCGACAUUCCAGAUCGCUCAGGCCACUGGUUGGUGAUUUGUCUCAGAUCCGGCUGCAUUCGGUCUCCGCCCUUCGAUCCUUGACUCCAACGUUGGUAAGCAUCGCUUUCCCCUCAUAUUUAAUUUGUUUCAUGACCUUCGUAACCCAACAUGAGACACUUCCUCUAGAUUUCCCCCAUUUCGUUCUUCAAAACUGAAGAAAUAUUUGAAUACCCAUAAUCUUGAAAUCACAAAACUUCACAAAUAAAUGGUAAUAAUAGAAGCUGGAAGGUUGUCUGCUCCUUCAAUCUUCCUUGCUUGCCAAUUCACUAUCUUCUCCUCAACUUCAUUAUAUCAAACGUUCCCUUUCAACAAAAUUAAACUAUUAGAAGAUUAAGCAUGCGGAGGAUUCUCCAGCUGAACAUAAAUUUCCACCCUCCAUUCUACUUCCAAAUUUUCAUAAUACGCUCCGUCUUGUUCCAAUUUGGACGUAUUUGGAAAAUUAUUUUUGGAAUUGAUCGACAUUUAGUAAAUUUUUGGAGCUUUUGUUAAUAACUUAUGAACUUAUCUAUCUGGAAUUUCAGAUAUUGGGUUUUAGAAUCUACCUUAAUAAGAAAACACCAAUGGCAGAACUUAGUCUGGGUAUAUUGAUAGACAUUCUAGAUGAGGAAUGGAUGAGAGACACACUCCCUCAUGAUGGUAAUUCUCAAUCUUCAUUUCUCUACAAUCAAGAAAUUAAUUGUAACAAGCUAUAUGGCUUAUUUAAUCUAGUUUUUCUAUCAUUAUCGUAGAUCUUUUACUCCCUCCCGUGCUGGUUGUUCGGGCUGAUGACACCGAGGACUCAAGUAUGUCUCUAACUUCUAACUCAAUGUUCGGUUAAUAACACAUGGAAAGAUUAUUCCUUUAAUUUUGGUAACACAUUCUAACCUGAAGCAUGUUUUUGCACUUGAUAUUAAAUUUGGUACAUGGGAGUUCCUAAGUCAAGAAUCAAUGAGUCUGCAAUGCUUUCAUAGUGUUUUCGUAACUUCUGAAAAUGGAAAGCAGGAUGCUACAAAUCUUGUUUUCUAUUUCUUUUUAUAUUCGCGAGUUUCUAGGCCAAUUUACGCCUAUCGGCUAUCGCAACAAAUCUCACUUGUAGGAUAUAAAAUCCUAUGUAGGCUACAAUCCAUUUCUCUUAACCCUUUAUCAAACUCAAUACCCUUUAUUACCAUCGGCUCAACCCAUGAAGAUGCUUCAAAGUUAAAUGUAAUACUUGAGAGCGAAAUGGUUGCAAAAAGUUUGUAUCCUAGAUUUUUCGAAGGCUCAUUAAGCUAGCACUAAGAGACAACAAAAGCUUUUAAUUUAAUGAUUUUACAACCGAAAAAUUUAUGUCCUAGAUUUUGAAGGUAUCUCCCAACAUCAAAAGUGCUUACUACCACCCCUACAAUCCCAAUGCCCUUCAAGGUCUUAAAUUCUUGUUUUACACCUGAAGGCUCAAGCUCAAGACAGCCGUUCAUUCCCCUCAUUAUCACCUUUUGAGUUUUGGCCUCUGAAUAUAUUUUCUUCUACUUUUUGUCUUGUGGCUUAAUGGUUAUCGUGCAGUUGUGAAAAUUGUGAAUAGGAAGUAAUAAACCGAUCUUUAAUCACUCUGUUAGAAGCACUAAAGAGCUUAGGAUGGUUAUUUUUGUCUCUACUUCUUACCGUCUCUAGUCUAAGUUUUUGUUGUAACUGUAAUUAUUGCUAAGUAUUGCUUGUGUCAAGUGAGAAACCUUCACUGUAAUUCUAAGCUUGUCUAGGUACGUCUCUUAAAAAUGAAAAUAUCCUUUUGGACUUCCUAAUUCACCACUUUCCUGAUACCUCUUUGUUUUAUUUCUUCUUCUUUCUGUCAUCUAUGAUGUUGACACCAUAAAGUGCAUCUUUCACUUAAAAAACACCAUUCAAUACUGAUAAUAUGAAAAUCAAUUAGUUUUUUCUCUCUAUUUUUGGCUUGCCAAUUGUAGCAAUUUGCAGGAGAAUUCAUUUUUUGAUCCCCUUUUUCUCUUAACUUCUUUGCAGAUCAGGAGACUCAGCCAGUUGAUACUGAUACUUGGCAUGAUCUUGCCUUAGGUAACCAAUGAACCGCCUUCUCCUAACUAAGGGUUGUCUGUUUUCAAGAAACUUGCUUCGAGUUAUAAAUUUUAUUAUCAAAUUCUCUUGCGGUAUUUGUAUCGUAGAUUGUCAUAUUUCACUAAAAUCCAUGUUGUAGAGUUAGGUAGAAAGUGUUUGUUUGUGGUAAAAGAAAUUAUGUACAUGUUGGUGGCAGUCAGUUAAGACUAUUGAUGGAUUUGCUGUUCUCUUUUGUAAUUUGUUGUGUGAAGACAGAUUGAAAUGUUAUUUCUUAUUAUGAGAUCUUUGUUCAAUUCCACUUGGAAAAAACUUUAGAGUUGCUUCUAAACUUAAUGGUUUUAAAAGGAGUACUACCAUCAGAUUGUUUUGGUCCUUCGGUAAAGAAGAUUUUAAUUAUUCCUCCAUGUCUUAAGAGUUUGUUUCAGCAUUCAUUUUCUAAGAACAUGUUUUAUUUUAUUUUACUUUUCAAAUCAAGAGAACUUAUGUUAAAUGCUCAACUUACUUUUGAAAUGUUUGUUUUAGUUCCUUGUGUUCAUUUAUUUCAUUAAUUUUCAAAAUGUUAAGGAGUUCAUGGAUUAAUAAUGUGGCUUCUUAGUUAGCUUUGCGCCAAACUGAUAGACAAUUGGUAAAAAAAUUAUGAAAACACAAAUAACUUUAAUACAUAUGAAAAUCAGUAAGUAGAACAAUUUCCCAUGAUAUUUUGUAUAAUUUAGCCUAUGUAGAAUCAAUUUAAAUUAAUUAGUUUAGGGUUUUUAACAUUACGAGCUUUUUGUAUAGGUUACGAGUUACCCAUCACAAACGCCCAUCAGGGUUACGAUAUAAAUAUUAUGUGCAACACAUGAGUUGCAAAAAUGUAAAUUUUUAUAAACCGAGGGAACCAAUUAAGCAUUGAAAAACUAGCGGAAUCGAUUUCAUCAUCAAUUCAACUGAACGACAAGCAGUUUCCUACAAGUGAGAGCCCAUUUUUUCCAACGUCAUUUGGAAUCUUUUUUAAUAAUAUAAUUUUAAAAAUAAUGUAAAAAAUAGGGUAGACGAUUCACAAUGCUGAAGUCAUGUAUAGGGUACACGACUUUGGCCACACUAUGGCAGUAAAUGCUUCCGUUGAUUGUUCAUCUGUCCAGCAUGCAAGGAGUCGUGUACGGUACACGACUUCGUCACUUUAAAUUAGCCCUAGCCGCCGAGCAUUCUGCCUUCCAUCUUCAAUUUCAUUUAGCCUUCCAUUUUCUAUUUCCAUAUUUAAUCUCCCUUCCAUCUGAAUCCGCCUUCCACCAUCUUCCUUAUGCCUUCCAUCUUCAUUCGUCCUCCCUUGCAGAAAAUCCAUCUGCUGUCCAUAAGGUAUAUUUAUUUUCACUUCCCGCCCCCUAUCCCAUUUACCAUCCCUAUGAAUUUUCCCACAAGGAAUGGGGCAGGGAUUCCAUGAGGAUUGGUUCCCUGCUAGAAAAUAUUUUCCACUUUUGUUUUAAAUUUUUUUGAUUUGUUUUUUGUUUUUCAUAAAUAAAUAUAAAUAACUAAGAAAAGUAAAAUUUUGCGUAAGUGUUAAAGAGAAUACAUUUUGACUGAAACUAGGCGAUAAGAGUUGGUAUUUGAGUAGUUCGCGAGAAAGAGUUAUGUGAUAGGAUGUUUGGCAUCUUAGUACAACUAGGCGAUUAAAGUCUUCACGAGUUGGAACUAGACGUUGAAGAAAUGAAACUUCUGAAAAUUUUCAUAAGUUUACUUAAUGGGUCACGUGUGAAGGUUUUAAGCUAAGCAGGAUUAAGUGAAACCUUAAACUUACACAAGUACCAUAGAGUAGGAGCUGGCAAAAUGAUAAGAGUUUAAAGGUGACUAAUCCAUUUUAGGAUUAGUAUAAAUAGGGGGAUGAAGUCAGAUUGUCAAGUAUUGUUACUUUGAAAAAUUGAAGAGAAAAGCGAAGUGUUGAAGUGUUGCUGAAGUGACUACACGAGAAGGAGAAGAAGAGGGGCAUUUAGAGUAUGUGUUUCUAAGUUGUGUGAGUGUUUUUCCUCAAAGUAUUUUAUAUGUUUGAAAGGUUUUCUUUAAAGUCUUUAUUGAUUUGAAACGACAAUUUCAAUAUGAAUGUUUCCAAAGAGAUUCAUAUGAAAAGCUUAUGCUAUGUUUCAAAGUAUAUUUUAUGUUAUACUAAUGAUUUGUGAAAUAAUGUUUAAACCAUUAGUCUUCAUCCUAUCAUUGAGCUAACUGUUAUGUGCACAUAAAGAGUAAACACAUUAUGUAUAAAAGACUUGCAUGGUGGAAUGAGGCUAGACAAUGCUUAAAAAUGUGUAUUGCACUUCGACCUAAGUAACAGAGAAUGAAUCAGAAUAUUCUCGAAUGUUAUUGAAGAGAAGGUCAUCAUAGUAGUCUAAACGGUAGAUGAUGAGUCUUAGCGUGGAGAAUGAUUCAGCUUCUUGGCGAAAGAAAUGCUAAUAGACUAGUGUGUGUUUAUGUGAAGUUAUAUGUUUAUGCAAUAUAAUUUAUUUACGUGAAAAGAUGUGUUUAAGCAAUUUAAUGUGAACAAAAGAUGUUACCAAAGGUAUUUCAUGAAAAGGUUUUUCUAAAAGAUCUCACCGAGUCUUUUGACUAACGUUUUUAAGUUUUAUCUACCAGGUUUCAGGCGUUAAGGCCAAGUAAAGAAAUGAUGAGAAGCUUGAUAAGCGAGAAGGGUUGUCGAGGCGUUUAGUUUAAGCUUAAGUGUUGCUUUUGUAUUUUUGUUAAGAGUUAUAAUAUAAGCGGAUUGUAUAACACAUGUUUCAAGUAAUAAAAGUUUUAAGUUUCGGUUACUUAUAUAGUAUUAAGUUUGUUUAUCGCCUAAAGUAUGUUUUCUAAGUUAAGUUUAAGAAGCCAGGUGGUUAAGCAAAACUGAAAGACCUCAAACUUAGUAAUUUUGGCGUUUAAUGCGUCAAAAGUACUCAAAGUCAUGUCGCGUCUCGCAUGGUAACUUAAGACGCAUGCAGGACGGGGUCUGACAAGUUGCCUAAGACAUACUUUCUUCAAUACACUGCACAUUUAUACAUUUUCAAUUUUUCAUUCAUUCACUAUUAAUUUGUCAAAGUGUUAUAAGUAGUUUAGGCUUGUGAUAAGUUAUUGGUAAGAAGUCUAACCUAUAAGGUUCAUUGCAUUGGUUGAGCUUCACACAUCGCUUGGCCAAUGUCUAUUGCCAGCUACUUAAGAGAGUAAGUAGCAAGGAUAUAAUCAACGCACGUAAAGAGGAGUUUGGACAAACUCCACCUUGCAACUAAACCUCCAUCACUUGUGUUUCGAAAGGAGAACAAGUGUGUUGUCUUGGUGCUGGGAGGUUGUCACCCUUGAAAGAGAGGUAACAUAAGUCUUAAAAGCAACAACUUUUAGAUAGCAAUCACUUAAUAAAUCUUUAUCAUUUGCAUCCCGAGAGGUGAGCAAGUGUGGUGUUUAAGACACUAAGAGGUGCUCGCCUUAAUUAGAAGCUAGUUAAUUGAUCUCUAUUGCAUCACGACUUAUCGUGUAAUUUUAAUCACUUACAAUGCGGAGACCUUCCUUCACAAUUCCUCAACACAAGUUAGUUCAUUCUCCAAUUUCCUCAUCAUGCUUACCACUUUUUACAUAAUCUCUAGUGUAGAUACUAGAUUUAGCUUAAACACACAUUUACUUUAUACCGUGUAGUUAUUUUAUACCGCCUAAAUGAAGAAGUAGGCUUUAUAACUAAGAUUUGAUAUCAACUUUUAGAUGCAUCGAGAAAAACAGUUUUACGAGUUUUAGAAAAAUGUGUUAUUUUUAUAACAAAAAAAAAAUGUACUACUUGUUGUAACUCUUUGAUCCACUCCUUGCCAUUCAUCCGAAGUUUUUAAAGUUUUUUUGUUUUUCAAAUUUCACACUUCUAUCCUCAUUUCUCGUUCUUAUGAGUUUCUUGUAUAUGGACAAAGUUGAUGUCUAUUUGGUCCCCUGAUUUAAAAUUGAUGUCUAUUUGGUCCAUAAGGUUUCAAAACAUAUACCUUAGUUUGGAGGUUUACAAAAUGAUUUUAAAUAUGGUUAUGAUAAUUACUCCAAAAAUCUAAUUAGUUAGUUAGAAAAUGUAUUAAAAUUUUAAUCCUUUUUUAACACAAUAAUAAACAAAAUUAAAACUGAUAAUCCCACUAAUGGGAUUACCAGAUUUUCUCGAGUAUUUUUCAUAAAUAAAAAAUAGAAAGAAACUCUUUUGGUUUCCCUCUUUCUUUUAAUUCUCCACAAUCCCCCGCGUCAUGUUUACAGCCGCCGGUGUUUAUUCUUCAACUCCGGCCAUUCUCCAUAGAUCCUCGAAACCCUCCGCCGUCAGCAGUCUCAGUGCCACUCCGACCAACGACGCGUGCCGCACCUACACUAUUGACAACUGUUUGCUGCUCCUCUACUGUUGCGACUAGCUGCUUUUCUACACCCUUGCAGACGGAGACCCACGUCGCACGAUGAUGCUAUAAGGCCAAAAAUAUUUACCCAACAAUGAGGUAAGCAUAAGGCCAAAAAUCGUGGGUCUUCAAAAGUUAGGCCAAAUAUCAUUUGUACCUCUCAAAAUAAGCCAUCCAUACAAAAAAAGAACAAAAAACCCUUCAAUUUGUUCCCCAGUUCUUACUAAUUAAAUCCCAUUACUUCAUUUUAUCGCAGCCUACUUCGUCACUUUCACCUCUUAAAUUCUCCUCUCGGGUAAUUCUUAUUUCUUUAGAGUUUGAGUUUCUUCUUUAUUAUCAACAUAUUUCUCUCUUUCUUGCGUGGUUUAGGUUUGUGUUGUUGAAUGUUUGCUGGUGCUAGAUCAAUGGGGUACUGGUGGGGUGUGAUGUGCAUGAUCAGUUUCUUUUAGCUUUAAUCGUCUCAUUAUCAACUAGUUGGAAACCAAACAUUAUUAGCCAAAAUUACUUUAUUUGGUAAUCCUACUAAUUCACCUCUUCAACCACCAAAUCUCUUUGUUAAAAUGGUGUUUUUCGUCAUUUUUUUUUAUUGUUCAUGGCUAUUGUUAUUGCAUUGGUUGCUCUAGAAUCCAAAUUUAUCAUAUUGGAGUAUGGGUUUAGGAGGAAAACAAGGAACAAAGACUUGUAAAUUGGAAACUUUUCAAUGGCUCUGGCACCCUUUUUAAGUGUUGUUCGUCUCAGGAAUAUAUUAGGUAUCAAAUUAUUAAGCCUAUGCAAAUGUUAGUUUGGGUUUUUCUUCAUCAUUUUUAUGAUUACCGUGUUAUAUUUAAGUUAAAUAUAAACCCCAAAAAGAGUGGCGAAAGCUCUUACUGAGAUGCUGGAUUGCUUUUGUUUCUUAUAUUUUAUUCAUGAGUCAUUUUCAAAUUACAGGUCAUAUUAAUGUCUUAAUCUUUACGAUACCUCCAUUUGUGGAAUAAAGUAAAUCUGAAAUUGAAAACUGUGGUUAGACUGUUAAAUUUUAAAUAAUCUGUUUUGUUUCUUUUCGGAUUUUUUCCUUUAAAAUUAGUUAUUAUUAUUGUUAUCAUUUGAAUUUUUUCUUCAAGAAAGAAUUUUUCAAAAUCUGAUGGUCUAGGCUUCUUUGUCUUUGUAUUUAUCUUUUGCAGACCAAUGAGUAUCAAGGUUGAACUUCAGAAGGUAAAGUGUUUUACUGCGAGCCUCUAGGAAUUGCUUGGUUUAUUUUCAUUAUCUUUAUUUGUCUUUAUAUUAUUUAGUUUUACAUUCUGUGAAAGAAUAAGCAAAAUGCUUAUUAGGAUCCUAGGGAAAUUUUUGGGGCCUAAAACAAUGUCUCUAAGAUAGCAGCAACCUCGUUCAAAUCUUUGUAAACUUCAACUCUACUUUAUUCUGAAUCAUUUUACUUGUAUUGUGACAACUUGAUUUUUAUGUUGUGGUUUUGGUGUACAUGAAUCAGAUGCUUAUUUUUUUUUUUUCAAGGCUUGCCCAGAUUGGACUUCUUGGGCUUCAGCUGAUAUGGCAUUUCCUACACUUCAUUGUUAGCGCAUUUUACUUUGUGGUUGGUAUUGCCACAACACUUGAAAGCUAUUUGAUAUCUUGGGGAUUCCCAUGCAAGUACAAACAUCUUAAUAUAGACAGGGUCCAAUAUCUUGCCAUUGUGGUCGAAAGUGAUGAAGCUUAUAAUACAUUAAAAAUGAUUGAACUUCUGGAAUGGUUAGUAUCGUUGGGCAUUAGAAGCGUUUGCUUGUAUGAUGCUGAAGGUAAUGAUUUUGUGUCUAUCCAGAAAUUCUGAGCUCUCUUUUAUUUUUUGCCAAAUGCUUGUGAUUGUUUUUUCAAAUUUGUUGAAUGGUAUGCUUAUUCAACUGUGUUUUAUUUUCAAGGAGUGCUUAAACAGUCCAAGGAAAUCAUUUUGAAGAAAGUAAAGAAUGCGUCUGAAUUUCAGGUACAUGCAACUAUAAGAAAGAUUCAAACCUAUGGGUUCAGUAAGUGACAAAGUUUUCUGCAUUGAACCAAGUGAUCCCUAAUACUUUGAGGCCCUCUUUUUGAAAUAUGAAUGUAGAUUUGUGUAUGGUAUAAUUGUGUUUUUAUCAGUCCUUUAUCUUUGAGUAUUUCUUUCAAUGUUCUUUCCUUUUAUUAGUUACCUCAGUGGAAAUUGUUGAAAUUCCUCUUGUAUUAUAUUUACACACUUGGGUCUUUUAUUAUUUGUUUCUUUUUUGGGAGAAAUUAUGUUAUAGGGAGUUUCUAAGUCUUAGUUGUUGUUAGUUAUAUAUAAAUAAAUUUACCUUUACCCACUAACUUAAACUUUUGGGUUAAUUAGUAAUUUAAGAUGGCACUAGACAGGUGGUCCAAGAAGGUUUUGUAUUCGAGUCCUUGCAAUGUUAAUUUUCUCCUCAAUUAAAAUUGAUUUCCACUUGUUGAGCCUUUCAAAUAUUUCAAGCCGCCAAGUGAGGGGGAGCGUAGUGAUAUAUAAUUCAAUUUACCUUUACCCACUAGCUUAAGCUUUUGGAUCAAUCGGUGAUUUAAGUUGCAAGGUUAAUGGUAAUGAGAUUGCCUUGGGUCCUUGAUGGAAUAGCAUGCUUUUGAUUCCAUGUGUAUUGCUUCUCUUUAGUGAAUUAAAGAGGGCUUUUUGAAGUUGUAUUUGUUUCUUUGAAGUUGCAUAUUAAUCUUUGCAUGAGGUCAUUUAUUUCUUCAAUAGUACGAGUAUAACUGCUGCCUUUUGUUUUCUCUUCCAAGUUUACCAUAAAAAAUGACAGUACUCUGCAAUUUGAACUUAGGAGGUGAAUGUCAAUAAUAAGAUGUGCAUUAUUCUUCUAAUUUAGUCAUUGCCUUCAGGGGAUUGACGAACCUCUCCAACUAAACAAAAAAGGCAUUACUCUGGAGUUCAUUUCAGCUUCUGAUGGAAAGGAAGCCAUUGCCAGAGCAGCUAAUUUUCUUCUUCAAAAUAAAUGGAGAAAAACCAACAUGAGUGGAGACCACAAGCGAUGCUUAUCUGAAUCUCAAAUGACCGAGGCUUUAAAAGCAGUUGGUCUGUAUUCUUGCUUGUACUUGAUAAGGUUCAGAGAACUGUUUUACUCAAAUGUUAAUUAACCUUACGGACAUAUAUUGGAUCCAUAAUUAGGUUGUGGAGGGCUUGAUCCUGACCUCAUUUUAGUAUACGGGCCUACAAGAUGUCACUUUGGGUUUCCUGCAUGGAGAAUCCGCUACACAGAGAUUCUGUGAGUCUUUUUUGUUUAUUAUAUAUUUUUUUUCAUAAGUAAUGACACGUUUUGGUGAGCUGAUGAGAAGUACAAAAGGGAAACCAAAAUCCUCAAUCAGUAGCUAAAAAAUGACUACAUGAAAAAGUUUAGUUACACUAGGUGGAUAAUUACAUAAAGGUUCUAUCGAAGAACCGCAACUCGAUGUUCUAAACUUUAUGAAUGCCCCAUGCAUCCUCCAUGCCCUUGCUUUUAGAGAGAAAAAUUGUCUCUCUAUUAACAGAUUCUAAAGAAGGGCAGCCUCCUUGUGCUUUUCUUUAGGGAGUGUCCACAAAAGUGUUGAUUGUUAUGCCAUCAUGGUUCAUAAAAUUUCAGUAAAGACUAGCCAACAUGCGUCAAAGGCCAAGUGGAUUUAAGAAAUGCCUUUCAAUAUUCUCAACUUUGAACUCAUGCAGCAACAGAAUACCAGGUUGGAAGUCCCUCAGAGAAGUCUUAAUUCCACCUGCUUUCCUUCUAGUCCUUAGCUUGCAUGCCGACGUGCAUAUCUAUGAGAUUUAUCGUAAUUCACCCUAUAUCUUAACUUUUAAAUUCUAUCAGACUUCUUGAGCAGGAUCUUUUAUCUUCUUCUUCUGAAACUCUUUCUCAUUCUAUCUCAUUGUUAGCAUCCACGUCUUCUUCUGUCUGUUCAUUGCUACCAGCUGUUUAUGUAUUUGAUGAAAAUUGGCAUUAGUCUUCCACCUUGGUUGCUUGACACUUGACUAGGGAAGCAUCAUAAAGGUGAUUGUUCUGCAUAAGACCCCUACCCCUACCCCUACACAUGCUAACUCUCUAUACAAAACCCGGAGCUGCUAGAAGUAGAAUACGACCCAUCCGUUGUAUGGUCAUUCUGUGCUUCGAUUCCUUUUAUUCCGCCUGUUUUAGCAAAAAUACUUCCUUCCAAUAGGGAAAUGGUGUUUGUUAAUGGUUAUAUUGAACAUUUUGAAUAAUUGUAUAUCUAUACUUAUCAUAGAAAAACUAAUAUUUUCCGUUUAAGAAAGCUUAUUUAAUGGUAUGUGAUUGUGUGGAACCUUUACUUAUGAUUUAUGAAAUAAAUCAAUUUGUUCAUCUGAUGAACCAAACACAAAAUUUAAGUUAUCUAACAAGUUUUCCUACACAUUUUUACUUAUUUCUUUCUUUCCAAAUUUUGCACAUCUUGAUUUAAUGCACUUUCACUUUCUAUUGCUGCAUAGUUGUAUCCUUUCAAUGGCAGAUUAUCAAAUUAUUAGCAGUAGAUUAUUGUUUACAAUUCCAUACAUUUUUGUAAUAAUUUUUGGGGUUGAAGAGAAUUGUAUGAGCUUCGAUGAGAUUUACUUGUGUUGUCUUGCAGACACAUGGGACCGUUGAAGUCCAUGAAGUACGGUUCCUUGCUGAAAGCCAUUUACAAGUUUACCAGGGUGCGACAGAACUAUGGUGAGUUACCUGCUAUUUCCUUAAUAAGUUCUAAUAAAGUUUAUAUAUCUCCUUUUUAUAAUGUUAUUGCUAUAUGUUACGAUUCUAAAUGUUGAACUAUGAUUUUACAACUGAAUUCCAUUUUGCUCCUUUUUUCUACAAUAAAGGUUUCUUCUGUUUGGUUGAGUGUUUUCAACAUUCAAGGACCUAAAAAUUUGUUUUUAUUUCAGAAAUUUAACUGAUAAUUCAAAUGUUUACAUUUAUAAAAGAUGAAAAGCAUGAUCGUGAUGGAAACGUCCUAGUUUCCAAAAACCAAAUAGUUAUUGAAUGUUGGCUUUUAUCGAUCGAUCGAAUCUUGUAUAAUAGUUUUGAAAGCGUCCUAGCUAGUCUUACCACAUGUCCAUUUAAUAACCAUUUGAAUUUUUUAUUUUCAUAACAAAAGCCUAUUCACGGAAUUGUUUGUAGUUCAAACUCAACAACAAUAAUUUUGUUUUACUUCAACAUAAAAAAUCACAAUAUUUUAAUAAGCUAAGUUAUUUGUUUAAGUUGUAACUUAUUAUUUUCUACAUUCAGUAGGAAGUUAUAAGUAGGUUACGUUUCAAUUUUUGAAGGUAGUGAGUGACUAAUGUUAAUUAUGUGAUGGCUUCAAUAGGUAAAUGAACUGAAGCAUCGUGCAGCGAUGGAAAGCCAAUGAAACAAGGACAAGAUUUUCUCAUUUGAACAGUCAUGGAUUUAGUUUUAUGAAUCGAAUCCAAGGGUUUUGUCAUUUCAUUACUCUUUUAAUUACUGUAAAGAAUUCAUAAACAAUAUAGGCAACUAUAUAAAAUUCAUCAACCCUAAACAAUAUAGUUUUAUGUAUUUAUUUAUUUAUUAUUAUUAUUAUAACUUUUUAUGUUUUUUUUUUUUGUUAAAUUAGAUAUUGGUGAAAUGUUCAAGUACAUAAUACUAACAGUACUUUUUUCAAGAAGGUUGUUUAAAAGUUGGAUUGGUAGAGAAUUUGAGAAAUUUGAGAUGAACUAAUCUUUUUUUAUCAUCUUAGUGAACUAUAUAUAAAAUAAAUAGGGAUGAGUUAUAAAAAAAAAAGGGGGGGAAGCAUCUUAAUUAUUUUUUUUAGAUAUUUUAUAUGAAUAUGGUAUGUGAUUAAUUCUAUUAUGAAUAUCAUUUUCGUUCAUCUCCUUCAAAUUUUUUCACGGACUGCAUAUUCAUUUCAUACUAUUAAUUAUGUGUAUGAAAUAGAAAAAUAUGAUAUAUCGGUGAUUUUUUUUCAAUAAAUAUAAUUUACAGUAAAUUGAGUAUAUAUGUCACAUAAUUUAUCAUAAUAGUUAGUCAAGUAUAUAUACCACAUCAUUUUCUUUCGUUUUUCAUUUUUUUUCAUAUAUUCCCAUAAUUUAAUAAUUUAUAAUAUAUACUUAUUAUAUUUCAUCAAAUUUGCACUAAUUUUCAUAUAUUGAAAAUUAAUUUGUAAAAUCUUCCUGUGACUGAAAUUGUUUUCGAUUUAAAUAGAUCAUUAUAUAUUCAUGUAUAUUUAACAUGAUAUUAGAUAACAAUGUAUGUGUGCAUAUUUUAGUUUGUAUUUGUAACAAUUUUUACAAUGACAUGAAAGUACAAUUUUAUCAAGAAAGUAAGAAAAAAAAAAGAAGGAAACUAAAAGGGAAUAAAAAAACAAGUGGAGAGAAAGGAGAAAUGAAGAAAUAAUGAGACACUUGAUCACUAAGAGAUUUAUCAUAUACUCUAUAAUAUAUUAUAUACUUGUAGAUAUAUUUUAUAAUGUUUAAAAUAUAUGUGGAUAUUAUUUAAAAAGCUAAAAUGGAGAAGAAAGGUUGGAAAGCAAAUCCAAGGGAGGAUGUGUCCGAGGUAUUUUUAAUAAUAUUUUAUAUAUAUAUUGUAUAAAUAAUUAUAAUAUAUGAUAUAUUAUGUGUCCGUUGGUUUAAUAAUAUAUUUUGUGUGUGAUGCUUAAUGCUUAAUAUAUACUAUAACAUAUAUGAAAUAUUACGUGUCUACUGCUUAAUUAUAUAUUUAUAUGGGGUGAUGCUUAAUGCUUAUGAUAUAUGUUGUAAAUUAUAUGAUAUUUUUUAUGUUGUACGUCCAUAAUUUAAAUAAGAAAGGUAAAAUAUGUUGAUUAUAUAAUAUACUAUAGUUUAUAAUUUAAGCAACAAAAUUAAUAACAUGAAAAAAUUAGUUGAAGGAGAUGACUGAAAUAUGCAUUCGCUGUACUUUGUAUUGAUUGCAAACUUUAGCGAAAAAUUAAUCAAAACUAUAUACGGUAAAAUUUACAUAAACAUAUGAAAGAAAGAAAUAUGCACUCAUCAAAUAUAGUUAUAAAAAUAAUUUUAUUGAUUUUGUAUAAAUUAUUUAAUAUCUUAUUACCGUAUUUGACUUAAUUUUAUAUGAUAUUCGAAUUAAAUGAAAAUAAUUUGGAAUUAUUUAUUACAUUAAUUAGAUAAGUUAUAAAAUAGAUAAUAAAUAUGAAAAAUUGAGACAUUUGUAUAAAAUGAAGUGCAAAGCAGUAAUUUCCCAAAAUAUUUGAAAAAAGAAAGUAAGAAGUAAAAUGAAGAAAAUCCAAAAGCUACAAAUACUAAAAUUGUAAUAAGAAAGGAAUAAAUUGAAAUAAACCCAAAGCAUAGGUGUGCCAAAUUGCUUAUUUAUCCCAAAAUCAAAUAUGGUCUCACGUUAAGAAUCACACUCCAAAUUUUGAGGGAAUAAAACAUGUGUUUUGCAAAAGCGAAUUUUCAAUUGGAUGUUAGAUGAGAACCAAAGCCCCAACAAGCUCCCUCUUCUCAUUUUAACUCCAUUAUUGUUUCGACAAGAUGAAUUAGUUGGUGGGUGUUUCAGCCAUCUAAUUGACCAAAAUGUUGAACUUCUUUCUCUUCACCACUCGAAUCUACGUCAACCCAUCUCAGGUAGAUUACCUUUUAUUGCUUUUCCAUGUAAGAAUUUGACGAAUAUGGUUAAUCUUUUCGAUUUCCGUAGGAUUCAUUGCUUAGCUUAUGAGACUGAUGUUCAUAAAUGGAAAGUGAAUGUGUAGGUCCAUUUUUGCCAGCAUAUAAAUUCUUUUCUUCGUAUUGAAAUCUUUUGCAAUGGUAAAACCCAAAGCAAUCGACUGUCCAAGUAUAUGUUAUCGACCAAUUGAACCCUCAGACCUUGAGGUUUUGGAGCAAAUUCAUGGUAACUUGUUUCCAAUCCGGUAUGUAAUUUUACUGUGGGUGCGCUUCAGUUUGAUUUUUUUUCUUAUGUGAUGUUGAAAUUGAUAUAUGGGUUGUUUGAAUUUCUCAGGUAUGAGGCGGAGUUUUUUCAAAAUGUUGUUAAUGGGCGUGACAUUGUGUCGUGGGCAGCGGUCGAUCAUAAUAGACCGGAUGGUAGAACUGAUGAGCUUAUUGGAUUUGUGACUGCACGAACUGUUUUGGAAAAAGACAGCGAGGUGAGAAUUUCUUACUCUUUGUAUAUUUAUAUCUGAGACCCAACCUUCAUACUUGAGGUGUUUUCUCUUAACUUUCUGGGGUAUUUUUUUUUCAUAAUUUUUGUAUUGAUUUUUCAUCUAAACAUCAACUCUCCCGUUGUUUUAAUUUUUUUUUUCUUUAUCUCGUUUUCCUGUAGUAAAAACGUUGAAGUUUUGAAGCAAUGGACGAUAAAAAGGUUGGAAGUAGAAACAAAUAUAUUCACGUAUGUAAUGGGGAAAACUCAAAGUUAACACUUGUGGGGUGGAAGGAUCACAAAAGAAAAUAGAGGGAUUUGAAUGGACUCAAUAAGUGGUGUAAACUACGAAAGGUUUUUUUUUUUGUAUGAAUGAAUUCUAUCCCUCAAUGUGAGGGAAGAGUUUUACUUAUAGAGGAAACUGUAAUACAAAGUUAGUUAUUAAGUAAUCAGUUUAACGAACUAAAACAGCGUAACAAAUACACUAAAACAGUGUAACAAAUAACAACUUUAGUUAAGAACAACUAACAAUUAACUAGACAGGUUGUAUUACAUCAUAAUCCACCCCCUAGAGACUCCACCUCAAGUUGGGUCAGCAAGUUGAAAUCCAUCACGAGCAUGGUACUUCUUCAAGUCUGCGACAUUAAAACAGGACCGCUGUUGAUUUCUCCUGGCAGCUCUAACUUGUAGGCAUUAGGUUUGUAUUUAGCUAGAAUUUUACUAGGACCAAUCUGCCUAUCCUUUAGUUUGCCGUAGAUUCCAGCUGGGAACCUUUUCUUCCUUAAACAAGCCAUCACUUGGCUUUGAAAAUUGACUUCUCUUCUCUUCUUUGUAAGGUGUUGUGUUCUUGAUGAGAUGGUCUAGGACUUAUAUGUGGAGUUUUUGAAUGAGCUCGACCAUAUUUUCUGCUUCAUCUUGAAGUUCUACUACAGUAGGGAGAUUAGUUAGAUCAAAAGUAAGCCUUGGGGCUUUGGUAUAUACAAUUUCAAAAGGGCAUUUGGCGUUUGUUCUGUUCUUCAUGUUAUUGAAGGCAAACUCAGCUUGUGCAAGAUCCACUUCCCAUUGUUUAGGGUGAGUUCCACUCAAGCAUCGAAUCAUAUUCCCCAAGGAUCGGCUAGUGACUUCUGUUUGGCCAUCUGUUUGGGGAUGUGCAGUGGUGCUGAAUUUUAUGGUAGUAUCAAACUUCUUCCAAAGAGUCUUCCAAAACUCGCUUAGAAAUUUGGGAAUUGUCUUAGGUAUCCCAUGAAGCCUUACUGCCUCCCAAAAGAAGAGAGUAGCAACAAAAAGGGCAUCAAUUGUUUUCUUGCGAGCUAGAAAGUGAGCCAUAACAACUACCAUCAUAACAUCAUAUCCUCUUUGUAUCUUAGGUAGUCCUACAACAAAGUCUAUUGAUAGGUCUUCCCAAUUUUUUUUAUUUUUAGGAAUUGGCAGAGGUGAAUACUGACCAACAUUUGUAGAUGAACUUUAGCCCUUUGACAAACUGCACACCUUUUGAAAAAAUUGUUGGUGUUCUCUUGCUUGUGGCCAAAAGAAUCUUUGGCUAAUGAUAUGGAAGGUCUUACCGUGACCAAAAUGGCCAACGAAUCCUUCUAUGGGCUUCUUUGAUAAGGCUUCCCUUAGAGAUGUGGGAGGGAUACAAAGCUGGUCACUAAUAACAUCUGAAAGAGUUAAAAAAGGCUGAAGUUUAACCUUCUCUUGGAUGUCAAACCUUAGUCCUCCAACAAAUCAGGCUAUUAAAUGUUCGUUCCCCAUUAGGUUUGUUCUAGCUCCCAAUCGAUGAAAUUCCUCAAUAUAUUCAGCCAUGGAUCUGGGAAUGUGCCUUUUGAGUCCGAUCAGAAAGGAAAAUUUGGAAACAAUUUUCAUAGAGUUGUUCAUCUUGCACUGCUGCUUCAUCUUCUUCUAUCUUGUGAACUAUUGUGAAUGGGAUGCCAACUGUCUUCCAAUUAUUUCCUUUGUUAGCCAAGAAAUCUUCAUCUUCCAAGGUCAAAAUUUUCUGUUCGGUCUCUUUUGUUUUGCCGAUGAAGUAUCCAAAAGUGUUUGAUUCGACGUAUGACAUCUCCCUUAUAUCGUUUGGUAGUCGACUGAAAUUAGGUUUUCACUUUUCUUCAAAUAAUUUUGUUUGUGGCUAUUUUCUUGUUCUACCGCAAGCUCCCCUUUGAUCUUUCUACCUUUCUUAUUCAAUUCCUCUUCAAUUGAUUUUUUUCUUUCUUCUACUUCGUUCAUUUUUCCAAAAUUUUACAGCCCAUUUGGAUGAUUCUUAAUCUUGAGUGACUAAAUGUGAUUCUUGACAGUUUCUUGAAAAUCUUGAAGAUUGUAAUUAAGCUUUUUCUUGUCCAAAAAAAUCUGAAUUUCAUUCACUCUCUUUUGAAAGUUCACAAGAUGUUUUUAUUUGAAUAUUUUUGUUUUUUUGAAAAUGUUUCGACCUCCAAAUUUGUGUUGGAAUCAUUCAUGGGUGUUCUUUGAUGUUGGAGAUAAUAAUUUCUUUUGAAUUAUUUUCUGAAUCAUCCAACUCCCAAUUCUUACAUUGAUUUCUUGAGAAACCGGUUUUAUUGAAUAUUAAAAGUUGUGAAUACAAGAAGACAAGUACUUUAUUUAUAAUGAAAACAAACUAAUCCUAAUCCUAGUUAAUAAAAGAAACUCAAUCCUACUUCUAAAUAAAAAAAAGAAACUAAUCCUAAUCCUAAUAAACAGAAAAAACUAAUCCUAAUCCUAAUCCCAAUAAACCAAAAAAACUAAUCGUAAUCGUAAUCCUAAUAAAUUAAGGAUUUGACCAUAUAGUACCCUAUUCCUACUACAUCAUAAAAUAUAUCAUGCGUAUUGGAAGAUAAUGUUUUCAUAGCUUGUUCAUUGACCUUGCCUUCAAGCUGAACAUGUUCCUGUUUGACCUGUGGAAGUAUUGGUUCAUAUAGGGAAGCCUUUGGUGGUGUUUAUAUUUUGCUCUGUGCAUACUGCAAAGCCAUGUUGGUAAUUGGUGUUAUUCAUAUUAAAAACCUCGUCUAAAAGAAACAUUUAGGUCACAAUCUCUUCUUUACAUUGUAACUUUAAAUUGUACUGUUUAGGUCUUUGGACAUAUCAGGAGGUCUUUGUGGAAGAACUUUGAGUGGACUUACAAUGAAAAUUCCAAAAACAAAAUUCUUGCAUUUCUUUCCAAGGGUGGAGGAUGAUUAUCAUCAACAUUUAUGGCCUGAAUCAAUUCAGUUGAUCUAUUGAUCAUUUGCAUCUUUGUUGCCCUUGGGUAUUGAUGCCCAUGUUUUUUUUAGUCAAGUAGAGCGUUCUGGCAAGAUUAUAUUUCUUUCAAGGUGGUAAUGGCAUUAGGAUGGAAUUUUGGGAGGACUUUUGGUUUUUGCCCCUUUCUUCAAGCGUUGACUUCCUUAGUUAACCAUUACUUGUCAAAAGAAAGAACAAUUGCAGACUAUUGGAAGGUGGAUGAUCUUGGUUGGACCUUGAGUUUGAGAUAUAUGCUUGAUGGGGAGUUUAAAGAGUGCUUGGCCUAGGCCUACAAACUAAUAAGGGAUACAUUCCUAGUCAAGGUGAAGACCUUUGGGUGUGGUCUAUAUAACCCUCUGGAUUUUUUCCACCAUAUUAGGCAAUGUUUGUCCUCAAUGCUGCCAAUGCAAAGCCAGAAGAGUUCAUUACGAAAUCCUGGUUUGGAAAUGUUAAAUUCCAAAUAUUCAUGUGGUUGUGGUCCAUAGCCUACCAAUAGCCUUAGUGCUUAAGAUAAACACAGAAGGGAAACCCACAUCUUUCCCCACUGGUCAAUUCUCUACUACAUUCUGGCUUUGUUUGGUGUGUAUGUAUAUAUAUUUACACCAUGCUCCUAGAGUUCAGUUCUCUACUACAUGUUGAAUUUGCUUGGUGUGUUUCUAUAGAUAUCAACAUGGUGCUCCUUGGUAGUUGGGUCAAUUCUCUACUACAUUCUGGCUUUGUUUGGUGUGCAUGUAUAUAUAUUUACACCAUGCUCCUAGAGUUCAGUUCUCUACUACAUGUUGAAUUUGCUUGGUGUGUUUCUAUAGAUAUCAACACGGUGCUCCUAGAGGUCUUAUGAGAUUGGUAGUUGGGGGAAAGUUGAAAGUCCUUUGGAGAAAUGGCACUCGUGCUAUUCUUUGGCUCCUUUGGAUUGAGGAAAACAAAUAGAAGUUUAAUGAUGAUAAUUUAGCAUCUCUAUACCAUCGCCUUUAUGGACUAUCCAAUUUUAAUCAUGCUUUUGUUGCUGAUGGUUGGAAUGCUGAUAAUGGAGUUUGGAAUUUGGAUUUUCAAAGGAAUCUCAAGGUUGAUGAGAUUAAUUAAAAUGGGCUUCUCUCACCCAUAUGCUUAGAUCAGUCUCUUCAGUAAAUGGCUCACAGAAUUGGAAAUAUGGUAAUUCUGGCACUUUUACUGUUCAUUUUAUGGACCCUCUUCUGUUGCAUGGAGGCAUUCUCUUGAUCCUCUGUACUCAGUUAGUUAUUUGUAAUGGUCUUUAUUCUCAGAAGAUUAAGAUUUUCCUUUGGGAGUUGGUGGUGCCAACAUGCAGAACCGUGUUUAGUGUCGAGGACCUUAUGUUUCCCUUUUUCCUUUUUGGUGUAUUAUGUGAAGUUCUUCAAAGUCAUCCUGUCAUCUUGUUGGAUUCUGUGGUUUUGUCACUCAGGAUUGGGAUUAAUUCUCACAGCUGUUGGUUGAAGCAUGAUUCUUCCAGGGAACAUUUUUUAUAUGUUAUACAUGGUUUUUCUGGGACUUCCUUUUCACGGGUGCAGAAACUCUCUGGAUGGUUGUUAAUGGUUCCUUAUUUUGGUCUCUUUUCACGGGUGCAGAAACUCUCUGGAUGGUUGUUAAUGGUUUAUUUUGGCUAGUUGUACGAUAUAUUUUUUCCUCUUGAAUAGUAUACUUAAGUGUAAGUGAUUAGGACUUUAAAUUCAUUGGCACAAAAACAUGGUUGGUUGGCUUUGACUUUGAGAGGUUCCAAACAUCGAGACAUAUUUCGGCUCUAGGAGAACAAACAUAUUCAUUUGAAGUUUGGUCUUUCUUCCUUUCAUGGGAAGUUUAAUAAAGAAGUAUUGGUUAAUUUCUUAAGCAUGUGGUUGGUUCUCUAACUCAAUGAGGUGGUGGGGGGUGGGUUGGGGUUGAUUUAGCUGGUGACUUCAAUUGUAAGUGAGCUGGCAUUUGGGUGAUUAAACGCAUAAAAUGUUAGUCAUUGUGGAAUUUCCAUGAUCAUUAACAGUUACGCUAAAGUUACCAUUAAGUAGUUUUAAGUACUUACAAGCUGCCAUUAGGCUUUAGAGUGGAUGGGUGUAAAGGAACUAUAAGUUGAAUUUGUAAUUGGUGGGUGGUUAUUUUGUAGAAUUGACUUACACCAAUCUCGUAACUUACUUUGAAAACUGAAAUCACCUGUCUUGUAUACUUAAAACUGGGUGUCACUAAUUUACACGGAUUUGAUGCCUUGUAGAUAUCUGAUUUACUUCGGCAUGAUUCACUAACCACGGAUCAUACUCUAGUAUACAUUCUUACACUGGGAGUAGUGGAAAGCUACAGAAACCUUGGGAUAGGUACGAGUUUGUUAGAGCUAUCUGUUUUUUUUUUUAACACACAAAUUCAUGUUUACAAAUAAUCAGCUAAUUUUUAUGUACUGAUUGCAGCUAGUUCACUUGUUCAAAAGGUAAUUAAAUAUGCCUCAAGCAUCCCAACUUGCCGAGCAGUUUAUUUGCAUGUCAUUUCAUACAAUACUACUGCUAUCAAUUUCUACAAGAAAAUGUCAUUCAAGUGCCUACAAAGACUGCCGGGCUUUUACUUUAUCAGUGGGCAGCAUUAUGAUUCUUACCUGUUUGUCUACUAUGUAAAUGGUGGUCGAUCUCCAUGCUCUCUAUUGUAAGUAUCGAAUAUCAACAACCUUUAAACUCUCAUGUCUUAUAUUACUUGUUCUUUUUCAUGAUCUCAUGCUGGUUGAGAAUGACCCCUUCCUUAAUCCGAUGAGAGUUCUCUUUUUCCCUCUUAAAAGCAACCAAAACCUCAUCAAGAAUCCUUUGAUUUUUGGAUUUUUGGAUUUUUAGAUUAAUAGAUUAAUUAUUAAUGAGAAACAUAGUGUUAGGAUACUAACAAUAAUUUAGACCGAAAGGACUGUAUAAAUGGCUUAAACAGAGGCGGUACUCUGGUUUACUUUAUUUAUAUAUAAAGCCAAAUGAUCCAGAUUCACAAGAUGAAAAGAAAUAACAAGAAACAACAAGGAAAAAUGCAGAAAAGAUCAUACCAGCCUCUUGGUUUUAAGAGACCCUGGUGGCUGCUGUAGCCCUACCUCCUAAAAGAUAAAAAUACCCUAGCUACUCCAACCUAAUAAUCCUAUUUAUAGACUCACAUAUUCCUCAGCCCAGUGGGCCCUACCACUCAGAACGUCCUUCCAAUCAUUUCUCCAUAAUAAUUCCCUGUGCAGUUACUUUUCUACCCUUCCUCCUAUAAGUAUGGAUAAUUGGGGGUCUUACAAUACCCCUCGGUUCCAAGUUCACCUUGUCCUCAAGGUGGAAGGUGGGAAACUGUUGAUUCAUUUGGUACACUGCUUCCCAGGUAGCCUCGUUCUCCGGUAGUUCUUUCCAUUUCACCAACCACUCGUUGGCCCCCAAGUCCUUAUUCCAUCGAAUGCCCAGUACGGUUUCUGGUUGUAGCUGUAGUUCAAACUCUUCCGUUAGUACUGGUUGUUGGAUUUGUACUACAUGUGUUUUUCCCAAUUUCAGUUUCAGUUGGGAAAUAUGGAAGACGUCAUGAAUGGAAGCUUCGGGCGGUAACUGCAGCCUAUACGCCACUUCUCCAAUUUCUUCAAUUAUGCGGUAAGGUCCAUAGAAUUUAGGGGCCAACUUCUCCGAUCUCUUUCGUGCUAGAGAAUGUUGCCUAUAGGGUCGAAGCUUGAGAUAUACCUCAUCUCCCACCUUGAACUUAAGUUCCCUCCUCUUAGAGUCUGCCAUUUUCUUCAUUCGGUUCUGCGCCACGUUCAGGUUCUCCUUUAGAGCAAUCAGUGCUAAAUCCCUCUCUUUCAGCAUUAGUUCCACCUCAUUGUGAGGAGUCUUGUGAUUGCCGUAUGAUAGCAGCGGAGGAGGUGAUCGUCCAUAUACAAUCUGGAAGGGAUUUGAUCUUGAGGAGGCAUGGAAAGUUGUAUUAUACCAUAGUUCUGCCCAGGGAAUGAACUUAUUCCACUUUGUCGGCUGCUCAUUACAAAAACACCUCAGAUAAGUUUCUACACAACGGUUUACUCUUUCAGUUUGUCCGUCCGUUUGAGGGUGGAAUGCCGUACUUCUUUUUAAAAGGGUUCCCAUGCUAGCAAAUAUUUCUUUCCAAAAGUUGCUUAUGAAAAUUUUAUCCCUCGGUUCUUCGAAUAAAUCCGUGUACUGCUGGAGUAAGACUUGAAUCAUUGGAGAUUCUUCCUCAUCCCCCUUCACUCUCUGUACUUCAUCCAAUUCCCCAUCUUCCUCUGCCUCAUAGUUCUGCAUUUCGAGUAAGAAGCCUUGGUCGUCCUCUUCCCAUGUUUUUUCAAUAGUUUUCAGAGAGCACUCUGCCCUAAUAAGUGAAGGAUCUCCUUUUAAGAUAAACUGUUUUUUUCCCAUCCGAAAUGUCAUGGUCAGGGAUGGCCAGUGUAUCUUCAUGGUUCCCGUUGUGUUUAACCAUUGCAUCCCUAGAAUCACAUCUACACUCCCCAGUUCAAUUGCUAAAAAAUCAGCCACGAUUGUGAUCUCUUUAAGUUUUAGUUCUAACCUGUUACACACGCCUCUUCCUUGGCAUCUUGUACCAUCUCCGAUAGUGACUCCAAACGGAGUAUGAUUCUCUAACUCCAGUCCCACUUCCUCCACAAUUUUGUUGUGUAUGAAAUUGUGGGUGGCCCCACUAUCAAUCAGUAUCAAUACUUCUUUCCCUUUAAUUUCGCCUUUGAUCUUCAUCGUUCCUUUACUUGUUAGGCCAUGUAUUGCCUUUAACUCAAUUUCGGUUCCCUCCUCCAGUGUAAGCUGAUUCAACUCUAAUACUUCUUCAUUAGUUUCCUCUGUUCUGUCUUCUUCUUCCAGACUUUCUUCUUCAUUCAUGAUAAACAGCAUCAGCUCUCUUUUGUCCUUCAUUUUGCAUCGAUGUCCAGGGGAGUACCUUUCAUUGCAUUUAAAACACAGACCCUUGUCAAGUCGUGCUCUGAAUUCCGCAUCCGAUAAGCGUUUCACUGGUGGUUCACUCUUCUGGUAGUUGCCUUUAAUGGGAAUUGUCACCUGUUUCAAAGGAAACUCUGUUUUCCUGGUGAUUCCCUUCUCCCCACCUUCUGGACCCUUGUUCGUGCUUCCUUCGCCUUUUUUGUAAUUCAGUCCUCCCCCUUCUGCCUUGGACCAUUGCAGGGCUAAAUUUCUGUCGUUGACCAGCUGUGCCUCUCUCAUACACUCCUCCAAUGUUAGUGGAUUGCGGCUCACGACUUCAGCUUGCAGGUUCGGCUCUAGCCCAGUCAGGAAUGCAUCCCUUAACACACUCUCUGUCAUGUGGGGCAGGGGUGCUGAAUAAUUAACAAAUUUCUUUACAUAAUCAUUGUAGGAACCGUCUUGUUCAAUCCUGAUCAGUCUCGCCACUAAACUCUUCUGCCCUGUGUCUUUAAAAAAAUCAAACAUCC